This 85447-nucleotide long non-coding RNA is filed under the name Ananas comosus (pineapple). Its description in RNAcentral is "long non-coding RNA (ACOM_LNC030998)". Lineage: Eukaryota; Viridiplantae; Streptophyta; Magnoliopsida; Poales; Bromeliaceae. The record is from RNAcentral.
UUGUUUUUUCAAAGAUGUUCAACUUUAGUGUAGUUUCAUCUGGAAUGAGCCGUUUGGUUGCAUGUAGUUGCAACAGUAUGCAAAUACAAAUUUGAUAUUUAAUUUUAUAUAUUUAACUCUAACUACUGCAGUGGGAACUGUAAGAGAAGGUCCAAGUAUAGCAGUUCAAACUACACUCAAAUUGGCCGCAGUUCCAACUGCAGUAGUUGAAGAGAGUAACUUUAAACAACAAAUAUGUUUACCUCCUUAAUUAUUUUUUAAAUAAAAAAUAAUUUUUUUAUAUUUGAGGUAAUUUCACCAUCAUAUAUAUAUGAAAAGAUAAAAUUUUAAAAAUUAUUUCUCAACUGCAUGCAGUCAAAUAAAUUAUUUAUAGUUGCAACAUUUUCUAUUACAUCCAACCAAACAGAAUGCAUGUAAUUACAGCUGCUAUAUUUUUAACUAUAUGCAUCUUCAAUUAUAUUGUAUUUAUAAUUACAUCUAAUCAAAUAACCUCUAAAGUUGUGUUCAAUUUUAGGGAAAAUAAUUGAAAAUGAUCGUACUAAAUAUUUUGAUUUUAGGUAAAGUUGUUGAAAAUAGUUGUAUAGAAUAGUUCGAUUUUAGGUAAAAUAAUUGAAAAUGAUCGUUCUAAAUAUUUUGAUUUUAGGUAAAGUUAUUGAAAAUAGUUGUAUAGAAUAAAUAUUUCUGUGUGUAAGAAAGUAAUUUAUUUUUAUGUUUGGUUUGACAUAAAAUAAAAAUAGUUUGCUUAGGGUGUGUUUGGUACUCUGUAAAACUAGCUGAAAAUUUUUUUUCUAUGUAAAAUUUUACUUUUUGAUGUUUGGUUGCUAGUAAAAAGUUUUUCACGGAAAAAGAUUUUUACGCAUACUAAGAAAAUCCGAAGUUUUCGUUUUCCGCUCGCUGCGAGCGGAAAACGAAAACUACGGCACCAAAAAUCACGGCUCAGGAGGCUUCUUUGUGCACGGUCCACGAGGUGCCCAUCACCUCGUGGACCGCGUGAGAGAGAGAGAGCACAGGUCCAAAAUCGCGGCUCAGAGGCUUCUUUGUGCGCGGUCCAAUAUAUAUAUAUAUAUAUAUAUAUAUAUAUAUAUAUAUAUAUAUAUAUAUAUCCCUAUACUAUAAACAUCAUUUAUAUUUUUCUUUAAUAUAUUAUUGUGUAAUAUUUUAUAUAUAAUAUAUUAUUUAUAAUACAUAAUAACUAUUUCAUACUAUUAAUAUAUAUUAUUAUAUAUUAAUAUUAUAUAUUUAAUUAAUGUAUAAUACAUUUUAAAUAACUUAUAUAUAUAUAUAUUCAUUAUUUAAAUAUAUUAUUGUGUAAUAUUUUAUAUUAUAUAUAUAAUAUAUUAUUUAUAAAUACAUAAUAAUUAUUUUAUAGUAUUUAAAUAUAUACUAUUUAAAUAUUAUACAUACUACUUAAUUAAUGUAUAGUAUAAUAUAUUUUAGAUAUUUUAUAAAUUAUAUACUUAUAAUACUAAUAUAUGUAAUAUGAUAAUUAGAGUCGGCUAAUAUGAUAAAUUUUUUAUUUAUAAUUUUUAUUUCUUCAACGCAAACAACGAAAAAGUAAUUUUAUAUAUUCUUAUUUAUAAAAUUAUAUAUUUUUAUAGUAUAUAAUAUAGAUCUAUUACAUAUAUAGCCUACUAUAAUACACUAUACUACUACUAUCACAUUAAAUACUUAUCAAUUUAUUAUAUUAUAUAAUUUUAAUAUAUUUAAUUUAUAAAUAUAAAUUAUAAUAAUAAUAUAUAUAGCCUAAUAAUUAACAUAAAUUAUAAAUAAAUAAUAUAUAGAAUACAUAAUAAUAAUAAUAAUAAAAUAUAUUUUUUCCUUUCAACCAUUCAACCAAACAACUAUAACUGAAAACUAGUUUUCUUUUCCUACAAACCAAACACCAAACUACGUAAAACUUUUUUUCCACUGAAAAUUUUUUUCCACCGAAAAUUUUUUUUCCCAGUUUUACGUCAAACCAAACAGCCCCUUAGCUGCAGGACGAAAAUUAUAGGGACCAAUUUAGGAUGUUUGGGUGAUACAGGGACUAUGGUGCAAUUUACGCGGCGUUUACCUUUCCCAUAGAUUCCUUAUUAAAGAAAACAAUAGACGUGGCUUCAAUCUAUUAGCUGUAAUAAAUUGGACUUAUCAUCUCCACCAAUCACAUAAGGCCACGUCGACACCAAUGUACAACGUGAGUUUUGAGACUUUGGGAGCUCCCGGGAUUUGAGACUUUAAGCUGAUUCUGGUGAUACGUUGUUCCCUGCACCCGGUGCAUUGCCGCAUCUGUGCACCACCUCUUUUAUCGGCCCUCCAUCUCAUCUCUUACUUUCGAUCCAACCGUUCAACCCCGGGUUCUUUGCAAAGAAUUUUUUAUUAUGUUAUUAGUGGUAGAUUCACCAGACACUUUUAAUUGUAUUAUAAAUUAAUCAGUAUAUACAUAUAUAACGAUAGAGUUUUAUAAAUAAUAAAAAUUUUAUAGAGAGCUUUUCCAUAAAAAGUUGAUCUAAUUAUAACAGUAUAUCAUAUGUGAUGCACGAAUCUUGUAAAAACAAUAAACAGUUGAUCAAACUUACUCUUUAAUUUUUUAGUUUUAGAUAAAAAUUAAUUAAAUGGAGAUCUUUCUUAGAAAAAAGAUAUCUAAUCAACGAUUCAUCAUUACAAUGCACAAAAUUUUUAAAAUAAUGGUGAAUAAUAUUUGAUUAAAAUAUGAGAUCGAACGAAUGAUGCGUUAACAAGCAUUACAUGAUGUAUACUCAAAGCAUUAAUAUUGCCUUUAAUUUUUAAGGAAUGGUUGUUAAUUCGAUUAAUUAGUUCGGUAGAUCAAGUUUACUACAUUAAAUGUGAACUACCUUCAUCUGUUCUACUUCCAAUAUCACAUAUCAAGUAAAUUAAGAAAAAUAUUUUAAAUUUUUUUAUCAUUGCGAUAUUAUUAUAUUAUAUUAUUGAUGUGCUGACACUUAUAAUGUAAAGACUUUUGAUUGAUUCAUACAUGUAUUUUAACAAAUCAUAUAAAUUUGUUAACUCAUUAAUUAUAUAUAAUAAUAAUAACAACAUUAUAGCAGAAUUUAUACCGAUACUUGUUCAGAAGUUAAGUUAUGAUACUAUUGAUGAUAAAUAAAUUGCAUUUAUAAGUAAUUUUUUAGUUUUUCAAUUCAUGAUAGUACAUCACAAAAUGAUAAAAUCUACGCAUUAAAUGGAUAAAAAAAAAAAUUACUACUCUUCUAUUAUUAAUCAUACUUUUUUUACUAAUUUUAUUCUCUUCGCACUGGUCCACGUCAUAUAUGGUGGACCACGUCCAGGGAAUAGUUUCUAAGCAAUUUAACCGGUCUGAUCGGACGGGGAUCAACCUCCAGUUGCCGCGGAAGACCCGGUCCACGACUUUUCAAGAAAAACUUAAAAUCCUAAAAUAUAAUGAUCAAUAUAUUCUAACUUUUUAAAAUAUUAAUUUUUUUUUAUAAUAUAAUGUGUUAAAAGACGAAGUUUUUUUUAUUGUUUUGGUUAUGCAGUGGAUUAAACCUUAUUUACAAAAAUUUUAAAAUAAAAAAUUUAUUUUUAAAUUUUUAUCCUUUUUCGUUAAGUAAAUGUUUUGGAUGAAAAAAUUACAAGUAAUUCAUUAUUAAUUUACUCCUACACUUUUGAUAUGCAAAGUUUUAUUUAAAAAAAAAAACAUAUAGAACACCAAACGAGACCUAAGUUUUUUCAAAAAAAAAGUUACCAAAUGCCUAGCAUUCAUAUAUGUAUUUUUUUAUUUUUAUUAUUAUUGAAUGUUACUAAUGAAUAUUGUAAUACUCAUUUAAGAGGCUAUCUUAAUAUUCACACAAAUAAGAUUGAAUGGUGUGGAUCGUUAUAUCAGUUUUUGUCUUUAACCAGUCUUUUUAUUUUUGUAUAUUUUCAAUUCUAUGUGUACAUAAAAUUAUGGAUUUUGUGCCGAGAUGGUCUUGUAAAUUUAUUUUUGCUUUUGUACAAUUAAUUUAGUACCUAUCAAUUUUCUUUUUAAAUAUUAACAUCUACAAAUUAUAAUAAAAGAAUAAUGCCAUGGCAGUGAUAAUAAUAUGUUAUUUAUGAUAGAUACAUAUAUAAUGAAUUUAAUCAUCAUCAGAAAAGAAUAAAUCCAUUGUAUAUACAUGGUCUACGCAUAAAAAUAAAAUAUAGUUUGAGAACCAAAACAGUUAAGUUAAAACGCAAAACUUUAGGAGCUAAAUUUUUAUUUUAUUUCUAAACAAUAUCGUCAUUUUAUUUUUUUUAAAUUGCUUCGGCCACAUAAACCUAAUUAUGGAAGCGUUAUAUAUAUUUCUGAAUCAUAUUUAUCAAAUUGAUUUUUUUUAAUUAAAGUAGUUGUGGUAUCAGAGUUGCUUGUUUAUUCACGAGUCACGACGUGUUUGAUUAAUAUUCCAUUGGUCUAAUUCUUAAAUUAUAAGCUCAUUCAUUUGCAUGGACCCGGUCCAUUUUUCAGACGCAAAUGAAUUCGGGUUGAUAAAGCUCCUAUCUCGAUCCGUCCUAAGUGGGAUGGGACAGUAAGUAAAAGCUAAAAAUAAAGAAAAAAAAAAUAAUUCUUCUCGAAUCUGUCAUAAUUCGUUAAAAAAAUAGAGCGGAAAGCGUUCAUUUUUUUAGUUCAUUCUGAUUUAUCAAAAAUCCAUUUCUGUUAUGAUUUGUCCUAAUAGAAUAAUAAGCACGGGCAAUAUAUAAAAGAUAAAUAAGUUUGUUUCAAAUUUGUCGCGAUCUGAGAAAAUAGAGCCGGAGGUGAGAGACCCGUUCCGAUCCUGGAACUACCAUGUUUACAGCCCCCACUCUGUUUCUUUGCCUCUCACAGUUUUUGAUUAGCGGUCCACAGCUGACGUGGCGGACCGGGACCAAUGGACCUGUUCUUAAGCGGGGGUUGAGAGCGACGAAAAAUUCUAGAAUGCAACGGGUAUAUUAGUGACGUGGCGUAACAAACCAAUCAAAUUAAUCAUUUUAAGAAUAUAUGUCCCAUCAUGAUUGUAAAAAAAUAUUUUUAUUGUACUUUUGUUUGAAAAGAAGGAUUGUGAUUGGCUUGUUAUUGAUGACGUGGUGCAAGUGUGACAGUGUAGAAUUCCUCGAGAGCGACAGGGUCCGGAGUUGAGGCGUUGACUUUUUGGGGCACGUUCCACGAGGAAUUUUAUCAGUGGUGGUACGAACUACGAAGCCGUGCUUUGUUUUAUUGCUCCUAAUUUAUUCUUACAUAUUGAAUAUGACUUAUUAGAGUUGGGUAAGGAAUUAUUGAAUAUGACUUAGAGUUAGGUAAGGAAUUAUUUUAAUUUUGUCAUUGUCUAAUGAAAAGUUAAUCACUUUUUUAGAACUGUUUUUUUUUUCCCUAAUUCUAUUAUUUAUUUGGUAAAAGAGAGUGACGUAAAUGUUAAAUUUCUCACUUUUUUGUGUGUGUUUUUUAUGGAACACUUUCACAAUAGUAUAUAAGAUAAUAAGAAAAAUUGCAAUAAUUAAUUUCUUGCCUCCUUAUUUUUUUUAUUCUUUCUCUCACAUAAUUGUCCUUACUGUUAGCCAGAGUAAUAUCGAUUAUAAUCACUAUUGCUCGAAAAGGAAUAUAUUAUGAUGCCUGGUAUGAAUAUGAAAAUAUGAUUCACCAACUUCUUAAGAAUACAUCAUUAGGGGGAAACUAAAAGAGAGAAAGUAAUAGCAAAACUAGCGAAAUACGCAAACAACACACUCGUAGAAAGAGCUCAAUACUAAAACAAGCUACUGACCGUCCCUGGCGCAAGCGGCAAAAGGGCUUGAUGGGUUGGUAUUCGAGACCCAAGUUCGAAUCCUAGUUGAUUUACAUUUCCAGUUAAAUUUAUUUUUAAAUAAAAUAGACGAAGCGGGUAGAAUGCUAUCUUUCUCUCAAAAAAGAAAAAAAAAAAGAAAAAAAAAAGAAGAGCUUCAAAAAGCCUACGACGGUAUAGCAUAUUUGCAGCUUACUAUCAUGUAAUCACACUUGCUCAUGGUCGGGCUCAGACCCGAGCAAACCCCGAUCUGAGCCUGGCCCAAAUCACGAUCCAAAUUGGCCGGGCCAGGCCGGACCAGGCCAAACCAGGCCGAACCGGGCUGAGUAACUCCAAGAAAAAAGACCAACCCACUUUUACAUGGGCCCGUCAUUGUUAGACCGAGUUUUGACAAUUUUGAUUUUGUACAGGGGCUAUUUUGCAAAAAAGCGACAAGCGUCGUCCUUUCGCUUCGAGCACGAAUCGUUUCGAUCUCUUUAUGUAAAAAAUAAAUAAAUAAAUAAAUACACAGCCCUUGGCGCGUCUAAGCUUCUGCUCACUCCUCCAUCAACAAUGGCGCCGAAGAAGAAGCCGCAACAACAACAGAGGUCGAAGGCGAAGGGGAAACCCUACCCCGCCGAUGCGAGAACCCCCGCUCCGAAGCUCCAAAUCUCGGCGGAGAACGAGCGCCGCCUCCGCCGCCUCCUCAUGAACACCGACCUCCCCCCGGCCACCGCGGCGGCGGCGGCGGCGCCGCCUCCACCGUCGUCCUUCGCCGCCUCCUCCGCCGAUGCCGCGGCGACGGAGUCGCGAACUGCGAAGGCGAAGCGGCUUCGGAGCGUCUACGACAAUCUCUCCCUCGAGGGCUUCUCCUCCGAUCAGAUCGAGAGAGCCCUCUCCGCUCUCCAUGUUCGAUCCAUCCCUCCAAAGACUUUAAUUGCGAUUUCUCGUCCAUAGUGAAUCAGGGUUUUUGUAUGUUAUUUAGUGUUAAUUUGGUCUGAAGAGGGAUCUCUUACUUGUUCCAAUGGUAGGAGAGUGCGACGUUCGAGAGCGCUUUGGAUUGGUUGUGUUUUAAUCUUCCUGGAAACGAGCUUCCUCUGAAAUUCUCGACCGGUGCUUCUUCUUCUUCUCAUGGAGGUAGUCUCUUCAUAAAUCACGAUGAUAAGUAUAGUGACCCCAUCACCCGUAGGGUAUUUUUGAAGUAGUUAUUUUAGUCAAUCAAAUUGAUAAUUGUUGCUAAACAAAUCAGUGAUUCCGACAACAUUUAGUCGAAACUAGUGUGCUUUUUGUUAGUAUUUAAAGAUCAAUAGUUAGUAAAGCCCUUAAUUUUAACAUAUUAUCAAUUCAAUUGAUUAGGAUAACUCAACUCAAAAUAAAUGAAAGUUUAUGAGUGUCGAUACAAAAGGAGUUCAGAAGCCUAUCUCAAAAUGGCGUAUAGUUGAUCAGUUUCGAUUUAUUUCUAUCGAAGUUUGAUAAGAAACAACCAGCUUGAUAUUAGUGACUAUACUUUUAAUUCUUUUUGUGUUUCCGGCAAAUAAAAGUGUUUAGGAUCAUGUUAAACUGAUGAUAUUCCGUAAUUUACAUAUAGUGUGUAAUUUGUGCAUUCAGAGACAGAAGGGUCAGUUAAAAUUAUAGCUACUGCUCGGGAAGAUUGGGUUGCUCCGCAGCAUCAACAGGAGGAAGAGAAAGACGGCAUGGAUGGAAUGUCGGUUAAAGUGAAAGGGAAGCGUGAUGAAGCGUCUCUAGAUGACGGAAAAUCUUCUCAGGCAGAGUGGAUCCGACAGUACAUGGAACAAGAAGAAGAGGUAUUUGUAUAAGAGGUCUUUCUGCAUAUGGAUAAAUUCAUUAGUGUCUUUAAUUAAUUGCCAUAGAAUGCUAUUUGCAGUAGUUUUUCCUAGCCAUUCUUAACCUUAUAGAUCAAAUUUGUAUGUUGGAUUGGAUUUGAUGAUUUUCGUUCUAUAAUUCUUAAUCUACCAGCAUACUUUGUAUAUUGCACUUCACGGUUAAUUGGGUGAACAAUCAUGUAUGCUGUUGUACUCUUAAUAUCCAAGUUGUCCAAUGCAUAUUUUAUGGGAUCUCCUAUAAUUUGGAAAUUUUGUGUUUGCUUUUGAUGUUAGGAGGAGGACACAAGUAAUCGUGCUGCUUCAUUGGCUGAAGAGUACCGUGUUGCAAUGCUGGGAUCUAUGGAAGCAAAGCAGAAAGGAAACAAGAAAAGCCAGAAACGUUUUGACAAUACUAUCCACAAACUGAAGCAGGAAUUAGCUAUGUUAGGUUUACUCUCAGAUCUCUGAAUUGUUUAAUUCUUUGGUCGAUUACUUCAUUUUGAAUGUUUUAUCAUAUAUUUUCUUGCAGGUCUAUCAGAGGAAAUUUUGUGUUCAGGAUUGCAAGAAGAAUCCGUUUAUUCAAAAAUGGGGGAGGUCACAACAUGCGAUUCAACACCCCAUGAAUCUUUUACUACAAAAAAAGUGUUAGAUGAAGAUAGUCGGCUAGGUUUAGUUGCAUCUGAAAGUGAAUUACAUUUAGAUGAGAGCAGAAAUGACAGCUCUAUUUUGAGAAAGACAGAGGGUGCUGUUGAUCGUGUGGAGAGCCUACAUAGCCCUGUUAAUGCAACUUGUGUGACUAAGGAGGAAUCAGAGGAAUUAGAACUUGACAAUCUGUUUUCUGAGGAUUCUUCUUCUUCUGGAGUAUUACUGAAACAGCAAAAGACAGAAAAGGUGCCACACAGUAAAUAUGUGCAUGCUCUAGGAAACCUUGAUGAAAUAUGGAAAAAGGUAAUUUGGGCUUUUCAUCACUCUUGUAGAAACUAUCAUAGUAUUAUGGUCUUACUAUUGAUGUUUUAUAAUAUUAGUUAAUGACAUUGGGGCUUCACUCUUAAAUUUUGCUUCCCUUUCUGGCGGGAUUCAUGUUGGCAAAUGUUGUCUUGCGAUGCUUAUAUCGCAGGGGGAAUCUGGAAGAAUACCUAAAGCUGUUCUUCAAAAACUGUGCCAAAGACUUGGAUGGGAAGCACCAAAAUAUAGUAAGUUAUCUGAGAAAGAUAACAAAUUCGUCUAUGCUGUUAGCAUAUUGCGUGGAGCAAGUGGACGGGGUAAGAGUCGAAAAGCUGGAGGUUUUACCACUAUGCAGCUUCCUGACCAUGAUGAAACGUUUGAAUCCAUUGAGGUCUCGUACUCUUGUUCCCUAUCUUCUAGUUCUAUUUAUUUUUUCUAACCAACUUUUGCUUGUUUCAGUGUCUUACUGAAUUUUCUUUCCCCUGCAAAUUUUACUAUAUAGUUGAUUAGAAUCAUGAACUUUGCUUUGAAAAUCCCUUAUCUCACAUGCGAAGACAUAUGUGAAGGAUGAUAUAGUCACACAUUCAAUUAUUUUACUUUUUAUGACUUUACCAAUAUAGUCGCACUCAUUCAAUUUUUUUACUUUUUAUGACUUUCCCACCUCAGUUUUUUCAUGAUUUUAUUUUAAAGCUGUUCUCUGCUUCUAGGAGUCUAAGCAAUGAUCCUGUAGUGAUUGACAAGGAAACGAUGGUUUGUUUUGUUCAUUUGGUGGCCUUGUAUUCUUCCUCAAUGAUGUUACUGGCUUUUUUUGUACUUUUAGUACAUCAGAUAUUCUUGCGUUCCAUCUUUUGAAGUAUUUUUUGGAUAAAUUGGGCUACUUUUUCGCAGGACGCACAAAAUAGAGUAGCAGCUUUUGCCCUUUAUCAAUUUUUUCCAGAGCUUCCACUUAACCAAAUGCUAGUAGAACCAUACUCCUCAUUAGUUUUGAAGUGGCAGAAAGGUAUGAUUUUUUUUUUAAAAUCAGCUCCCCCUUUCAAUUUGUCUUUUAUUCUUUUACUGCUCUGACUUUCUUAUUUUCAUAUUAAUGAAUAUACAGAUGAAUGCUCAAGUGAACUCGAUAAUGAGGAUAUCAGAAGAGAUGGCUUUGUGGAUAUGAUUUUGAACACAGAUGCUUCAGGGUCGGCGACUUCCUUUGGCGCCCGAAAUCCUGCUGACAGUGAGAAGCUUGGAAACUCCUAUGAUGCGGGAGAUAAUCCACCACCUGAAAAGAUUAUCAUAGUCAAGUCAUCAACUGAUGCAGGUAUGCUCUCUGAGACGAAUCAUCAUAUUUUCCAUUGACAAUGAAUAGUGGUGAUCUCAAGACUAAAACUGGUGUACUUUUUCUACGAUAUUUUGUUAAAUACCAUCCUUAGAAGCUUUACGAUCGCAGUGGUCAUACAACUUCAUAUAACAUGUUGUACUUCUCUGUCCUUUUUUGUUGUCAAGUGCUUGGACUGAUAUUGAUCAUUUGAGCUUUAGAUUUUUCUUCCAUGGAAUUCUGUUAGAACUGUUGUCUUAGCAGAUAUCCUUUUAUUGUGGUGGGCAAGAUGAAGCACCUAGUUUAGCGAGCUGAUAGCCUUAUCCUAGUUAUGAUGACCUUGCGACUGGUUGAGAAUGAUUAUUGUUGUUGACGUAUUUCUUGGAAAGAAUCAUGGUUAAACAUUGCAGUUGGCUAUUCUGUUGUGGUCCCAUUUUUGUUAUUUUAAAUAUGUUGGACUGAUACGCAUGAUACUAAUCUCAUUCAUGCCCUUUCCCCCAGAGGAAUGAUAAUUUUCAUAGUUUGAACUCUGUUUUAAGCAUGGUAGUUUUUGAUUGGGUGUUUGUAGCUAUGGCUGUAGAAAAUCUGUCUGCUGCUUCUGAACUGGUUGAAUGAGUCAAUGACUGGAGUUUUUCCAUAAGUUCUUUUAUUACCUCAUGUAGUAGUUAAUUUUCCAAUGAUCUCAUUGUUACCAAGACUAAUAUUGAUUAUUUGACUGUACUAACUUCUUAGGUCGGAUUUCUCCGGAACAAGCAGAGAGUGUAUUACUGAAAAAUGAUUUGGCAAAUAAAAAGAAGCUACCUAAGUACAUGGUAUCUUGUUGAUGAUCAUCUAUUUCUCCUUAGUGUAAAAUUAGCAUAUGAGGUGUUAUAUUCUCCAUAUACAUUACAUAUUUUUAAUACUUUGACUGUAUCUCUUUUGCCAAUGCAGAAAAUGCUGGAAGCCAGAGCUGCUCUGCCUAUAGCUAACCUGAAAAAUCAUAUUCUUCACUCUUUAAAUGAGAAUGAUGUGAUUGUUGUUUGUGGCGAAACUGGGUGCGGGAAAACAACACAGGUUAGUUAUAUACCAUCAUAUCUUCCACUGAUUGUCUAAGAUAAUACUGUGAAUGAUUUUGGGAUCCUUUUUGAUAUACAAAUAGAGCAGAAUAUUGUCAAGGCAUGAAAUAUUUAUUUUCCUUAGCAACAAAAUAUUCUAAUUAGUUAUUAUGUAUUUUUAUCAAAUCAUUUCAACUUUAUUGAGAAAAUAACUUACUAAUUUUCAAAAAAAGGGUUUUGAGAUGUGCCAUCGGCACGGGAACUAUAUCAUACCGAUAUUUUGUUGGCACGAUAUGACACUGUGGAAACCGCCCGUGCCAAUGAUCCCUUAAAUCCUUGUAUAUGUGUGUGUGUGUGUGUGUGUGUGUGUUGUUGGCAUGAUAUGGCAUGGUGGAUACAGUCCGUGCUGAUGGGUAUUUAAAUUCUUGUGUAUAUAUAUGUGUAUGUGUAUAUGUAUGUGUGUGUGUGUGUGUGUGUGUGUGUGUGUGUGUGUACACGUAUAUAUAUACGUAUAUGUAUAUGUGUGUGUAUAUAUAUAUAUGUAUAUAUAUAUAUAUAUAUGUAUAUGUUUAUGUAGAUAUGUAUAUUUAUAUAUGUAAAUAUGUGUAUAUAUAUAUUUGUAAUUUCCACUUUUUUGCCAUUAUACAAUUGGUGCUCUUGCAGGUCCCUCAAUUUAUAUUGGAUGAUAUGAUUGACAUUGGGCUUGGAGGAUACUGUAACAUAGUGUGCACACAACCACGCAGGAUAGCAGUACGGUUAUAUCUCAAUCUUGGGUUCUCUUUGUCUUAUCUUAAUCUAUAGUUUCUAGAUGUCAUAGAAGUAUAUGCGCACUCUAUUUUUCUGUAAUGUCGUUGCAAUUGAGCAAAAAUAUAUACAACCGUUGUGGAGCUGUUAUAUUCAUUUUCUGACUUGCUGCAGUGCAGUGGUAAAGAACUUCAUGUUAAACAUCCUUCUGGUUGUUAAUAUGUCUUAAGUAGAACUUGCCAUUGGCAACGAAAGGAUGCUGGGACUCAGGCAAAGAAUUUUAGCUUCUUUUUUUUUUUUUUAAUGUCUAUACUGGCUUAUGCUUUUUUAUGCUUAUAGUUGCUUACUCAUCUUAUUGAAAGGAACUAAUUAUCAGAUGAUUGAUUACCCAAAAAAUGUUAGGACUUUGGAGUAUUUUUAUACUUUUUUAAUUGAUUUCAAAUAGAAGCAUUUUCUUCACAACUGAUAAGAUAGGAAUUUAAUUGGUUAUGUGAAACAUACAUUAAUAUGUGUAGGCAGGUAUCUCAUAUGCAAUUGUGUUAACGGUCUACAGUGUACUACUUAUGCUGUAAAUUUUGAGUUUUGGGCCUCGAUAUGGGAGAUUUAUUUAUUAUAUUGCGUAAAAAGAAUACUUACAUAAUGAAACAGGAAGAAUCAACCUUCCAGCUUAGAUACACCUUAUGCAUUACCCUAAAUCAUAUUAACUGUAAACUGUUCAACAGUAUAGUAAUUAAAUUGUGCUAUAUUUUAAACUUGGCACGUUAUUCUGUCUUAAGAGUAUAUUUGAAAUAGUGCUUUCUUUUUUAUUCUUAUUAAUUGUAGCAUUUUUUUAUGUGUUGCAAAAGGGAUUAAUAUUUAUAAUUAUUCUUUGUCAGGCCAUUUCUGUGACAGAAAGAGUAUCAGAUGAGCGAUGUGAAUCUUCACCAGGUGGUGAUGGUUCAUUGGUUGGCUAUCAAGUUCGCCUCGAGAGUGCUAGGUGCUAUCUCCUUUUAUCUUUUGCUAGUUAUAUCUGAACUCUAGUAACUAUGCAAACUGGCAGUGCUCACACUUCUGCAUUGUCUGUAUUUUCUUUUAAAAUUGUGCUCUUUAUUCUCCAGUUGGUAGACAUAUGAACCUUAGGUUGAACAAGCCACUGUUAAAUUGCAUAGGACUAUGUCGCCAACUUGCAUAUACGUCUUUCCUGUCAGAGCAAAUUUUUCUGUGCCUUCUUUUCUUCACUACUUGUAAUUGGUUUCUGUUACUUCUGUAAUUUUUUAAUCCAUGUGUUUAUGCUCUCAAAUGCAUGGACAUAUUUCUUAUGUUAAAAUCUCUGUUUUAUGUUAUCUAGGAGUGACAAGACAAAACUUCUCUUUUGUACAACUGGCAUCCUCCUUAGAAAAUUGUCGGUAAGUUUUAUUCUUUAUGAGAAAAGGCACAUCGUAAUUAUUCAAAAGAUUCCUGAAUUUCUCUUGGUUUCUGUGUUUCUCUUUCCUGUGUUAUUCAGUUUUGCAUAGUGCCAUUUGCCUGGAAUAAGGAUUAAUAGAUUUAUCGUAAUUGGUUUAGAAAUUCUUUUGAUAAACCUCAAUGGGGGGACAACCUGGGAGGAUGAUAUUGAUGAGGAUGUUAAUGCACAUAAAACUAUCAAAAAAUAAGAAUGGUACUAAUAGAUAUUAUUUAUUUAUAUGCCUGCUUAUGAUGCUCUUGUUAACAAAUAUCAUGUAACUGAUUAGAUUUUUUAUCUUAUAUUAUUGUGGUGACUCUAGCAAUUUAACUUAUCAAACUAAUUACUGAUAGAAGAAUAACUUCUAUUUUAUUUUCUUUUUUUAGUUUUAUUCAACUUUUGUAAUUAUAUGUCGUAACUUAACAUCAUUAGGACUGGCUAAGAAUUGAUGAACUUACAACUGAGACUCAACAAGCAUUUGAUAUUAUUGUAUCUAAUCAGUGCAUAGUUUUGCAAAUAGAAAACCAUGGAAGAGGGGGUGGGGUAUGGGGCUGAGUUUCUUCAUAUUCUUUAAUUAUGUUCAUGCCUAUUGUGGUUAUUUUUAUUGGAUACAGCUUGUUCUUAUUCUUCAAUUAUGCUUAUGCCUCUUAUGCUUUUGCAUGACAUUCUGAUGAAAGUGGGAGACUCAUUUGUUUUUACAGAUAUCUAUUGUACACAAUCUGUCAGAAGCCUUAUGUCCCAUUUGGAUUCAUAUUAUAAUGGUAGUUUGGUUAACAGAAUGAUGACAGAAAAAACAAAACACAUAAGCAUUACUCUUUGGAUUUCAAUGUUCGUUCUUGUCGCAUCAUAUUUAUUAACCUUGUAAUAUUUCAUCAAUUUAAAAUGUUGACAAUAGAUGCUUUUUUGGUAUUGAUUCUAAUAGGCAAACAAGAACUUGGAUGGUGUAACUCACGUCGUAGUUGAUGAAGUACAUGAACGAUCUCUUUUGGUUAGUUUUCCGAGGAUCUCUCAAAAUUUUCUUACUUGUAUGUGUUAGUUUCUUCAAGUAUCUCUCAAAUUUUUUUCCUCAGCAUGUGUUCAUACAUGUUUCUCCAAGUAUCUCGCAAAUCUUUUUCAUCAGCAUGUGUUCAUACAUGUUUCUCUUGCACCAUAUAUAUUAGAAUGUGAUAAAAUCUCACUUAGAAGAGCAUCGAUGGGUGGUAAGUAGCGGUGGCAAUGGGUGUAGUUGUCUUUAUCAUGUUAAAUUUUAAGUUCGUUUAAGAACCGUUAAUUUCAUUUUACCCCAUAUAUAACUCGUCAAGUGAGAUCUUCCUUGCAUAUGAAUUGAAAUUAAUCGUUUGAAUAAUUGAAAGAAAUUGAGAUUCACUAUUUAUGUGUUUUCAUUUACCGGAAAGAGACAUUUUCAACUGCUAAAUUACUAUUUCAUAUACUCUUAUUAUUCUAGAAGAAUAAAUAUACAUUUGCAUAUAAUCUUGAAAGGUCUCUGUUUCAGAGUGACUUCCUACUGAUCGUUCUGAAGGACCUGGUUGAGAAGCAAUCUUCUCGUGGCAUACGAAAGUUGAAAGUAGUUCUCAUGUAUGUCUAUAUUUAUUUAUUUUUGAAAUAUGGUUUUUUGAUGCAGAUAUGCUAUCUCAGUGCUCUAUCUCUUGCUGAUCAACCAUUGAUAGCCUGAUUGCUGCCUUUUCUGGUUCUUUUUCAAUGUAGGUCUGCAACUUUAGAUGCAAGUCUGUUCUCAAGGUACUUUGGUGGUUGUCCUGUAAUUAGAGCAGAAGGAAGGACACAUCCAGUUUCAACUCAUUUCCUUGAGGAUGUUUAUGAAAAACUCGAGUAUUGUCUUCCCUGGGAUUCUCCUGCAUCAGGGACAUCUCUUGCACCAAAUAGAGGAAAGGUUUGGUUUUUAUCUAUUCUUGUAUGGAUAUGAAUGUGAUGUAGUGAUGUUAUGGUUAUGUGAAAAAAAAGGGAAAAUUUUGAGUUCUCAUAUUAUAUCUAUGACAAGUAGAGGCUUAAACAAAUACAACAUUCAAUCUUAUGCUAAUUUGAAAAACAUGUUACUUAUGGGCAACAAGAUCAGUUUGAACCUGUCAUCCUAAGUCAUGUUAGAUCCAACCAUAUUGUUGCAAACCUUUUCUUCUCUUGGAGAAGGAAUGCUUGAUCCAGAUUGCAUAUUAAGUCCACGGUUACCAUGAAAUUAUAUGCUUUUUUGUAAUGCCUUUACGUUAACCAUGGUAUUGCACUCUUACUUCAUUCCACUCCUUUAUUGAAGUUUUGAGCACUGCAUUAAACUUCUCGCCACAGUUCCGAUGGCUAGUUUUUCGCAAUUCAUUUGCUAUAAGUUGAACUUCUGUGGUGACAGCGCAGUAGUGGUGCUGUGGAUAACCAUAGAGGAAAGAAGAAUCUUGUUAUGUCCUCCUGGGGUGAUGAAUCACUACUUUCUGAAGAUUAUGUUAAUCCUCAUUAUAUCCCCGAAUUAUACAACUCCUACAGUGAAAGAACACGCCAAAAUCUUGUAAGUUUGAAUUGUAUGAUGUUACUUCUUUUUUGUCAAUUUAGUACUUAAAUUUACAACCUUAUUUUCAUGCAGAAACGCUUAAAUGAAGAUGCAAUUGAUUUUGAUCUUUUGGAAGAUUUGAUAUGCUAUAUUGAUGAAAAUUGCCCUCCUGGUGCCAUUCUUGUUUUCCUUCCUGUAAGCUUUGUGGAGUAUGAGUCUACUUUUAUUAGUUGUUUCUGCCUGUAAAUUAAGCCUUGCCCUUUUUUUCUCUUUUUUAAUUUCUACUUCUGAUUUUUCCUAUAGGGAGUUUCUGAAAUUGAGUUGCUGGUUGAUAAAUUAACCGCCUUAUUCCGUUUUGGUGGAGUAUCAUCUGAUUGGAUUCUUCCUUUGCAUUCAUCACUUGCGUCAGCUGAUCAACGGAAGGCGUUUCAAUCUCCACCUGAAAACAUACGAAAGGUAGUUGUCAUAUUACUGUGCUUGGAGACAUUCUUUAGAAAAGUGGCAUAAAACAUCUUUUUAGCAUACUAAAAUGUUGCACAAGUUUCUCGGGAAGAAAAUCAAUCAUCAGAUUUGUUUUCUCACCUAUACAUAAUGACUGGGCUACCUGCUUGGGUUUUCUACUGUAUUGAGCAAUAUUUUUUUGAAAUAUAGUAUAUCCUACUUGAGAGUACUUUGUUGAUCAAGGAAACGAUUCUUUAUGCCGCAAUGCUGUCCCAGAAGUUCUGCAUUGAGUUGUUUAUUUUGGGGAAAAGUUCCUGCUAAAUGCUAAUAGUUCUUAAAUUAUAAAUCAUAUUUUCUUCCCUUUUCUAUUUUUUAUGAUACUUUUAGCUGGGAAAGCACUUCUUGGCUAAUCUUCCCGUUUAAGUGUUCUUUUUGUUCUUUCAACUGUAUUAAGUGUUCCCAUGUCAACAACUUAGUUGGUAAAUAAAGCCAAUGAAGAACUACAAAAUGGAAGACAUCUCGAUUACCUUUUCUUUAUUUAACACACAAUGUAAUCCAGUUUUGACGACCCACUGUUGUUACUCUUUUCAAUAGUUUCAAGAGUAGGUUUUCUCAAAACCAUAUUGUAGUCAACCAUCUUGGGUUAAUAUUUUGCUGUAUGCUGCAGGUAAUUGUUGCAACGGAUAUUGCAGAGACCAGCAUAACAAUUGAUGACAUAGUUUAUGUGGUUGAGAGUGGAAAGCACAAGGAGAACCGGUACAAUCCACAAAAGGUUCACAUAUUUCUUGCCAUCGUAUUCAUCAAAAUUUUCAGUUUUCAUGAUCCUUGUAGUUGGAAAUAUUUGCAAAUGUUUGUGGCUGAGGUGUUUGAUUCGUCAAACACAUUUUCACUGAUUCUAAGUUACUAAUAGGGUUAACAGCUAGUCUUCUUUUUUCUUUCUUCUCUUUUGAAGUUUGAGAAAAUAAUGAUAGUUGGAACGUAACAAAAUUUGAAUACUUGAAUCACAAUCACAUGGGUAAGUUUAUCAGGAUAUGCAGCACAAGCGUGUGUCAAUUUUCACGCUCAUGGAUUUCCAGGAUUUUUCAAUCUGAAAAUUUUACCUAGUCAUUGUUGAACCUUCAAGUUCCAGUCAGCACUUUUCAAGAAUAGCCAUAGCAUGUUAUGUAACAAGCAUCAAUUAGGCAAGUAUAUAUAACUGAUAGGUUCACUAAUCAGAUAUUGUAUCCUAAAUGUUGCAGAAAAUGUCAAGCAUAGUGGAAGAUUGGAUAUCCCGUGCAAAUGCAAAGCAGAGGCGUGGUAGAGCUGGUAGGGUGAAGCCAGGAAUCUGCUUUUGCUUGUAUACUCGCCAUCGAUUUGAAAAGCUCAUGCGCCCAUUUCAGGUAAUUAUCAUUUCGUCAUUCUAUUUCUAACAGCAUAUCUGUGUUGUAGCUCAAAGCAAGAUAUAUUUUAUCUGUGCUACCGUAGCAUUUGUUGAAACUUCCCUCGAUGCCAACGUGUAAAUAUUUGUUGAUUUUUCAGUGCUACAUACCUACCUAUGUACAACAUGACUGCAUAGUAUAUCAAUUAGCAUAUAGCUACAUGGCUGCUUCAACUCCUUUCUCUUGUGCCUAAAAAAUCUUGCUAUAUCGACUCUUCAAUCAUGUAUUUGCUUAUGUUGGCUUAUUUAAUCUCCUUUUUUUUUCACAUAUAUGCAGGUGCCUGAGAUGUUGCGGAUGCCAUUGACUGAGUUGUGUUUACAGAUAAAAUCACUUUCUUUGGGAGAUAUCAAAUCCUUUCUACUGAAGGUACGUGAUCUCUCUGUUUCUGUAUGUGUGUGUGUAAGUGUACAUGUACGCCCGUAUGGCUUCAUCUUUGUUCAUGCAUUAUGCCUGUUUCUAUUGACUUAAUUAUUAGUCGAAGCAUAGCUACGUUUCUUUAUUCUAUCAUCUUGAUGUCAGUGGUUUGUUUUUGUGACUAAUUUUGCAUCGAUAUGACACUCUACCAGGCAUUAGAACCACCACGAGAAGAAGCUAUUUCCUCUGCAAUUGACUUGUUAUAUAAGGUACUGUUUUGUUCCUUAUGACAAGUUUGCAAAAUUUAGUGCCAAUAUCCUUAUCUCACUACAAAUAGAUCUAGAAUACUCUUUUGGACUAUUGUUAGUGUUUGUGACUGAUAAGUUCAUAUUGGUGCAUUUUUUUGGUAAAUGCAUGAAAUCUCACUAGAGAAUUUACACUUUAUUUUGGUGGUUGUUGGGUUGGGGUGGUUUAGGUUGGAGCCUUUGAAGGAGGAGAAGAAUUGUCACCUCUUGGUUAUCAUUUGGCAAAACUACCUGUGGAUGUUUUGAUUGGAAAGGUAUGAUUAAAUGUUUUGACCUCCUUUUGCUUUAGACCUUUAUAUGUUUUUUCGUUUUAGAAAAUUGUUUGUCCUUGAAUGUAUUUUACAGGACUAAGUAAAUCUAGUUUAUUUUUGCGCUAUCUCAUGAUGAAGUAUGGAUUAGACAGAUUAAAAUGAGGCUUGUGUAUGUAUAUGAGUGCAAGACAGGUCUUCGCUACUUUCCAUUGACCAUUGGAAAGCCCUAAUAUGAUGACAUGAAAGUUGAGCACAGUAGAGGAAUAACUCAAUAGCUAAUUGAAGUCAUUAAUCUUUUUGAGAUUUCUAUAUCUAAGUAGACAUGUGAAGAGAGAGUCUGUGUCUAAGUUGACCCACUUUUAAUAUCCUCAUUUGCUAUAUGGGCUUGGCCGCUUGGGCUAGUCUGCAACAGACCCGGUCUCGCAGGCUUGAACCAUCCCCAGUCUAUCAGAACUUGGGGAUGAUCCAGCUGAAAUAGACUCACUGAAUUUGUUCAAAGACCUCUAUUCACAUUCAUAUGAGCUUAUAAUCAUUGAAAAAGCUUCUUUUAUAUGCAAAUGUAUUUCAUGAAAUCUAGACAUAUCUUAAACACAGAUUUUUAUCCCUAAAUUUUCUUGCAAAGUUACUUUGGUUUCGCAUUCUUCUGUAGGAAGGUUCCAUAAGUUUGUAUAGCUGUUAAGUUUUUUCUAGCAUUUUUAUUAGCCCAGUUGUACUGAAAUGUCCCCUUGGGGAUAUUGAGACCUCAAUGUGAGCAGUGAAAUGACUUUAUAUUUAGUUUUAAAUAAUUUUAAAGGGCUUUUUUUGUAUUAGCCCUUUUACAAAUAGCUCUAAUAAAUUUAUAUUUACAUAAAUAGCCUUUCCUUGCCAUAUGGGCACUUGGGUGGCCUUUUUAAGUUGAACACAGUAAUUCAAUCAUCGUGUUUAAACACGGUGAUUGGAUUACCAUAUUUCUUUUUAUAUUUUUUAUCGCCCCUUAGUUAAAAAAGAGAAAAAAGAGGGACUAGAGUGUGGAUAUGAGCAUGGUGAUUCAAUCACCGUGUUCAACUUAAAAAUGCCAACCUGUCACUUGCGUGACAAGGAAAGGGCCAUAUGCAAAUAUAAAUUUGUUAGGGUCAUUUGUCAUUUUUUCUUGAGGGGGCUAAAUGUAAAAAAACCCCAAUUUUAAAUGAUCUAAUAUUUUGUAUAUUUUCUUUCCACGUACUAAAAUUUAUUUUUGCAGAUGAUGUUGUAUGGUGCAAUAUUUGGUUGCUUAUCACCAGUUCUCUCGAUUGCAGCAUUCUUGAGUUACAAGCCUCCCUUCGUCUAUCCCAAAGAUGAGGUACUAUCUGAGAUCUCUUUGUUUGUAGCCAUUUCUUCACUCGAAUUGGCUUAACUUGUGUAUGUUUGUGAUGCAGAAACAAAAUGUAGAGAAAGCAAAACAAACUUUAUUAAAUAGCAGCCUGGAUGGAACUGCUUCCAAUGUGGACAAUAAACAGUCAGACCACCUGCUAAUGGUUGUUGCCUACAAUAAGUGGGCCAGGAUUUUGCACGAGGUUAGAGUUAUUUUGUCAAUUUUUAUUGAAACACUAGAACAGUUCUUUUCUGCAGAUAGAUCUUAUGUUAGAUUUUAUUAACAUCAUCAAAAUCUGCUUACACUAUCUUUAUGGUAAUAAUUAAUCUUUUCUAUAUUUUUAUACUAUUGCAGAAUGGUUCAAAAGCUGCUCAGCAACUUUGCCGGUCAUUCUUUUUGAACAGUUCAGUUAUGUAUACUAUCAGGUGAGUUAUUUCCUUUGACUGCAUCAUGUCAUUCAUUGAAGCUGUAAUCUAUUCCUUACAGCAUUAUUAUACUAUGUAAUUAGGAAUCUUUUAACUCGUUGUUACAUGAAAUGUUAGCAAGUGGAAUAAAGGUGCAUUAUAGUAAUUUUGAGUGCCUCGAUGUUACAACUUGGAUAUUUGAGAUAAAUUGGGGAAAUAUUAUUUUUCUAUCAGUUUACUGUGCUCUAACCCCGUUUCACUUGGCAGGGAUAUGCGUAUACAACUUGGAAGUUUAUUAGCAGACAUUGGGCUCGUUGAUCUCCCGAAAGUUAUUUUGGUAUUGAUUUUACUACCAAAGUUGAUCUUUUUUCGUUUCUAGCAAUGUAUCCUUCAGCCGUUUCAUAUUCAUGUUUUCCAUUUGCUUUGAUUCUUCACAUGUAUUUGAGUUAUAUCAACAAAAUGUUAGUAUUAUUGGGUGUCGGUGGUGGAUUUUGAGGUCAAGAAUAAUUUUUUUUUCUUUUUUCCAAUGUUCACUCUGGUUUGUAGAAGUGAGGCUAAUAUUUGAUGCUUCCAUCACAACAUAUCAGAGCUGGCUUCAUUAUCUUCCUCACAGUAGUCGGGAUAAGAUUUUAGAUUAAUACGAAGGUUUAACUACAAUUGCAUAAAAGGAUUUUAAUUUUGUUAACACUGCAUGAUUUUUAAAAUUUUCAUUUAGGGUAGAGUUGUGUAAAAUUAUUUUUUUUCCCCCUCUGACACAGAGUGCUGGGAAAAGGAAGGACAAACUUGACGGUUGGUUUGCUGAUGCCUCUCAGUCAUUCAAUAUGCAUGCACAUCAUUCUUCAGUUAUUAAGGUAAUUUUUUGUUGGUUUUGACUCAAUGCGCAUAAACAUUGUGUGUUUCACAUAAUGUUUGCGAUCUAUUUCAAGUGUGAGGUUUUGAACCACUUAUUUCUUUGCACUUGUGGAUGUUCCUAACUGUUUUUGUGUGCAGUCGAUUAUAUGUGCAGGCCUAUAUCCCAAUGUUGCUGCAACUAUAGAAGGUAUUGACAGGUCUUCUUUAGGUGGAAAUAAAGCUCUUUUUGAUUCCCUUUCGGUGAAAGACCGGCCGCUUUGGUACGAUGGAAAAAGAGAAGUUCACAUACAUCCUUCUUCCGUAAACCAUAGCUUGAAAAGUGCUCGGUAUCCAUUUCUUGUCUUCCUUGAGAAGGUAAAACUUUUAGGUUGUCGCUAAAAACUUGAUAAAAUUUAAACAAGAUGAGGUUUUUAUUAUUACAAAUAACUUUCAUUUUGCAGGUUGAGACUACCAAGAUAUUUUUACGAGAUACUAGCAUCAUCUCUCCUUACGCCAUUCUUCUGUUCGGUGGUUCCAUGGUUGUCCAACAUCAGGUGAUGUCUCUUUGGCAAUAUUAAUUCAGUGUUCGAUUAGCAUAUGUUGCAUUCUUCUCAUGUUCGAGAGAAUAUAUAGCAUUCUUGUUAGAGCAUGUUUUUUCAAGAGAAAAAUCUAAGUUACAAUUAAAUUUUUCUGAGCUUUUUCUUUUCCAUUGGAAUGUAUUACCCUUUUUUUCUCCUUGUGAGAAUGUUGGAUAUGGGAGCAAGUUUUGCACCUUUGAUGUCGUAGAAAAGCUAAGAAUCAUGAGCUAUAUCACUUUUACAGGCUGCAUCGGUCAUGAUAGACGGCUGGAUAAAGUUGACAGCCCCUGCACAGGUUGCUGUUUUGUUCAAAGAACUCCGCAGAACGCUCGAUGCCGUUCUCAAAGAAUUGAUCAAAAAGCCUGAGGUAGUAUUAUAUUCAUUCUUCAUCCGUUUUAAUUAAUAUGUUAAUUUGACCUAAGACGCCAUAUAAUUCUCCCGUUCCAGACGUCCACGUUCGUCAACAACGAAGUCGUGAACUCCAUUGUUUAUUUGUUGCUAGAGGAAGAGAAAUCUCAAGCUUGAGAUAUUCUUAUGCUCCACACAGCUUUGACAACCAAAAAAGCCGAUGUAAGGUGAGUCCGAAGAUGCUAACAGCAGAAACAACAAGUCGCUUCUACGGUAUCGUCUAUGCACAGCUUAAAAUAUUCAACUUGUGUGGUCAACGAAUAUAUGCUGCAUUUCCUGUUAUCUUACCUACUCUAGUCGAUUAUUUUGAAGUCUAUUUUUACUGCAGCAAACAUUUCUUUUUCUUUUUCUUUUUCUUUUUUUUUUUGUUUUAGGGGAUUUUAAUCAAAAUGCUGAUGCUUUUUCCAACAGAUUACUGCCUUAUGUGAACACCUGUUCUCAGAAACUGCUACUCAUGUCUCGUCACUCGUGAGGUGUAGAAUAGGUAAUCACAGGGGAAUUUCACAGCCUCUUUUAUUUGUUCAAACAUUCUCGUAUUAGUUCCCCAUACCCUGGUUGUAGCAAUUUCAUACAAAAAGCUAAAUUGGAGAGAUUAAGCAAUACCAUGUGGUAUGAAAACAAACAACAGGGUUUUUGGACCUGUGUGAAAGGAAUCCGGAAUUCCCAAUGAAACAUGCCGCCACAGCAAUUUGGCAACCAACUUUUUUGUUCUUUACCCCGGGAGGAUUUUUUUUUUUCUCUUUUAUUAAGAAAAGUGGUCCUAGUUGUAGAAAGUUUGGACGAUGGAUGAGAACAAAGAUCUUAUUAGGGUAAAAACUUACAGGUCGUUCCUGCAUUGUUCUAAUAUUGUACCUUAGUCCGAGUACCUUUUGCUGCAUAUUAUUAGUUCUUCAACUUCCGCAUAUAUUACAUUUAGUCGAAAACAUGUUUUUAUAGUCUAAUCAUUUUAUUUCUAUCUAUCAAUAAGCAGUUAAUUUUAAUUUGUUUUGUAACGAAGCUACAAGAAUUAAGAUAUUUAAAUAGAAAAAGAGGGGCUCUUUUUGCAUUUAGUUUUUUUACAUUUUUUUUUUUUUUUGUAAUAGCUCUAUAAAAUUUAUAUUUACAAAAUUAGUUCUAUUUCUGUCAUGUGAGCACCACACAAAUGCCAUAUUCGGCGUGGAGUUUAAGUUUAAGACAACAAAUCAUUCACCGUAUUUGAAUGAGUUGUUCUCCGUGUUUAAGCGUUAUGUAUAACUCCUCUCCGCGAUCUCUCUUCCCCUCUCUCUCCCCGAGCUUUUUCCAUCUCACUCUCUCUCUCUCUCCAACCACCCCCCCCCCGAGCUCUCUACCGCUGCUGCUCGCCACAUACGCUACAUCCUCUCUCCUCGGACAAUAUGCCUCCUCUGCCGCCCUCCACGACCUCGGAGUUCUCAUGGGAUAUUCUACCAUCACCACACCUUUAUGGUAGAAAAAUACAGUAAAUGUUUAAACAUGAUGAGUAGAUUCAUCGUAUUCAAUUUAAACUCUUCUUUUAAUAUAAAACUUGUGUAACGUUCACGUGACAGAGAUAGAGUCAGUUUUAUAUUUAUAAAUUUUACGAGACUAUUUGUAAAAAAAAUUGUUAAGGAGCUAAAUACUAAAAAAAAACCCGGAAAACAGAUAUAUAAGGACCAAAUUGCACUAUUCGGGCAGUCUAGGGACUACCCAUGCAUUUUUUUUUAUCUAUUAUUUAUUAAUUUUGAGCAUCUCUCUCUUUCCGAGAAGAGGAGAGAGCAUAGAAAGAAGGGAAUCAUUUGGGGUGGUGGGAUCGGGUGCUUCUAGAAAGCGGGACAAGGCGACAAGAAGAUCCGCGUGUCGCCGCGACGGAUCAAUCAAUCAAUCGCUCGCCCUGAUGAUGCCUCCGCGCUCUUUCCUCCCCCCACCCCCUCUUAUCCCGCUCUCCUUUGUCCGCUCCCUCAAAUGAUACCUUUUUAGUUCCUUUUUGUUUUUGACCUUUUGGAGCCCAUCCCAUUUCAUUCUCAUUCCAUCCCAUUCCAUUCCUUUUAAUCCCACAACAACUAUUGUUACCACACGUGUCUAAUCUUUAUUAAUAUUCAAUAUUUUUUAAGAAAGCAAUAAUAAUAUAUUCUUUUACCUUAUUUAAAAAUUAAAAAUAAAUAUAGUCUGUACCUCAAAAAGAAACUUACUAUCUGUCUAAAAAAAUCUAAAUUGGUAGAUAUAAUUUGCAAUAUUUGAAAAGUAUUUAUAUAUGAAGGUUACAUAUUUUGAAAUUUUAUUAUAUAUCUACGUCAAGUAGUCUGAAAAAUUAACUUUGUUGAUUUAUAAGUAAGUAAUUGGUGUUGGAAAUACAGAAUUACGUACAUAUAUUUUGAGGCCUACGUGAUGGGUGUCAUAGGUAUUAGAGGUCCAUGCAGUACAUGAUAGGUAUAUAUAUAUAUAUACUUGUGUACACCUCUCUCUCUCCUCGCCAAAAUGCCCCUGGUGCAACGACAUCCAUGUAUACGUAAGAGUUGAACACUCAACGCACAAAACAAAGAGAGAGGACAACUCCACCGUCCCAGCGUACCCCGGAAUCCAAGAGGAGAAGAAAAUUCAUAUAUAAGCCGUAUUAUUUAUUAAUUAUUAUUUUUAAUUUAAGGUAAACUUUAAAUACCAUCUAUGCAGUUUCUCACUUUAGCAUUAUGUGAUUUAGGAUGUAUCAAUUUAGUACCCAAUGGUUUUAUUUUUCUCUUUUUGUCAGCCUCUUUGUUAUAACUUUUCGUUAAAUCAUACACAAAAAACUUCAGGUACCCUAUUUAUAAUUUAUUGAAUAUUUAUGUAGGAAACUUUAUGAGAAACUAGAUCGUACCUUCUGUCAUGAUUUUGAUUUGUGUACCCGAUUUGUAGCGGCGAUCUUUGCUCGUGGUUCGUUCUCAUUCGCGAUCUGCAAAGUAGCGGGAUGUUUCAGAGUCUAAUUUCCUUAUCCUGGAGAUGGAGCCAUUACAGACAAUUCGAUUAGGGUUAGACCGGGACUCCCGUAUGUUACAUAUUUAUAUAUAACUUAAUGUAAGAAUGUUAAAUCACGUCCGUCCAUCAAGAACGUGUCUAGAUACAUCCUAACCAUAAGAUCUAUCGUAUCUUUAUAGAUCGACUUAAAUAGAUUGACUGUAUCUUUAUGGAUCGCCUUGAAUAUAUCACGUGGGCCACAUCCAACAAUUUACUCUACUACCCUUUAGUUUUAACAUUGUCACUGAUUUAAUAAAAAUAAUUAGCAAAAAGGAUAAUAAAACGAAAAAAAUAAAACCACAGGGUACGAAAGUGAUACACUUUAAAUCAUAGAAUACUAAAGUGAAAAAUGUGAGACCACACAAUGGUAUUUGAACUUUUCCCUUAAAUAUAUAUAUAUAUAGAGAGAGAGAGAGAAAGAGAGAGAGAGAGAGAUAUGUAUAGAAACAUCUUUUGGAAAAGAAGAUACCUUCCACCUAAUGUUCCUUUACUAUAGUCUAUAAAUAUGCUUCAGGGAACCCAAAGCCAACUCCUCCCUCCCCUUCUCUCUCUCUCUCUCUCUCUCUCUCUCUCUCUCUCUCUCUCUCCUCACAGGGGGAAUUUAAUUUCCUCCUAUUUUUGGUGUUGGUGAGUUAUAGAAAUUGAUAGAUAGAUAGAUAGACAGACAGAUAGGCGUGACAAAUAUGAAUGAAGGGGCUGGAGAGGAGCUUCUGAGCCUAAGCUUAGGCCUCAAUAGCUCAUGGUGCACAAACACAACAAAGAUGAAGAGAAAGGCAAAAGAUGAUCAUGAAUAUUCGAACCCAGCAUGCAACGUUACCACCAUGCAAGAUGUAGAAGACAACAAGUUCUUCAACUUACUCCACAUGAGGGAUCAAAUGCUAAAACAUGACCCCAAGAGAUCAAAUGGGGCGCUAGAAGGUACUACAAAUGGCCUACAACUCAUUCAUCUGCUUCUAUUCGCCGCGACCGCGAUCAACAAAAACAACACGAGUUCCGCCGUCGACGCUUUGCAUGAGAUCUACAAGAAUGCUUCUUUCCAUGGCGAUUCGAUACAACGAGUCGUGGCCUACUUCGCCGAUGCCUUAUCCGUGAGAAUUCCCUCUCCGAGAUCUCCACUUUACCACUCUAUCGUAGUUUCUCCGACGCCCGAAGAGGAGUUCUCCGCGUUCACCGAGUUCUACCGAGCUUCGCCGUACUACCAAUUCGCGCACUUCACGGCGAACCAAGCGAUAGUCGAGGCAUUCGAGAACGAAGAGAAGCGCAACGGAGGUCGAAUUCACGUUAUCGAUUUCGACGUAUCAUAUGGCUUCCAAUGGCCCUCUUUGAUCCAAUCUUUAUCCGAUAAGGCCAGUAGUAGCAAACCGAUCUCUCUUCGCAUAACAGGGUUCGGAAGAAGCGUCGACGAGCUCGAAGAAACCGAAAUGAGGUUGGUUAACUUCGCGAGCGGUUGCAAUAACUUGUUCUUCAAAUUUGAGGGGAUUUUGAGAGGUUCUUCGACAUGCAAUGAUAUUAGGAUUGAGAAGUACUCGACUCUCGUGGUAAACUUAGUGUUCUAUCUCCAAAAACUAAGUAGCUCUAACGAGAUGCAUGAUACAUUGGCUACUAUACACUCAUUGCACCCAUCUUUGGUUGUGUUAAUAGAGAGGGAAGGUAACCAAAGCCCGCGAAGCUUCGUAUCGCGAUUCAUGGAGUCUUUGCAUUACUACGCCGCCAUGUUCGACUCGUUAAACGAGUGCCUCCCACCGGAGAGCGUCGAGAGGCUCAGCAUUGAGAAGAACCAUUUGGGCAGAGAGAUAAAGUGUGGUAUGGAUCAAGAGGAUGGAGAAGGGCACUUUAAGGUGGAGAGUUUGAAACAAAGGAUGGAGAGAGUAGGGUUUGAAGAGAUGAAGCUAAGUUCAAGAACAGUGAGCCAAGCAAAGCUACUACUGAAGAUCAAAAGCCAUGGUUCAACAAUGGGGUGUGGUUCUAAUUGUGGGGGAUUUAGGGUUUUGGUGAGAGAUGAAGGGAGAGAGAUAUCUCUAGGGUGGCAAGAGAGGCUUCUAAUAACAGCUUCUGGGUGGAGUUGCAGGGAGUGAUUAAUUGGAGUUUAAUUAAUUACUUAUUUAUUUGUUAAAUGCUUUUUUUGAUAUCUUGAAUAUUUGUGAUAUAUCUUUUUUUUUAUUUCUUGUAAUUUAACCACUUUGAUGUAGUAUAUAUUGAGGUUCCUUUGUAGAAUAUUAUAGUGUAAUGUUUAAGCAAUUUUCUCAUAUGUGACAUAAUAAAGAAUGGAUUGCUUAAUUUGUGUUAACUUUGCUUGAAAAAAAUAGUAUUUGAGAAGCAUAUCUGUAUUACAUCCUAGCUGCAUUGGUUUUUUUUUUUUCUGAGUGUUAAUAAACUUUUAAUACUAAUUUUUAGCAAUUUCAUAUUAGAUUGAUUUAAUAGGUAAUAUAUAUUGCAUUAAACUUAGUACUAUAAAGCCGCUCUAUGAUCCAUAUUUGAUACUUCAAGUUUAUAUGUUAGGGCAAUAUUAAGACUAUUUCUAAAUUAUUUCCUACUGAAUCAAUCAAUCUCAUAUAUAUAUAUAUAUAUAGAGAGAGAGAGAGAGAGAGUAGGGCUACUAUAUUCUUUAUAAGUAUAGAGCCUUUCGUACUCAUAAGUUGUUUUCAAUGAUAAAGCUUCUGAAUUAAUCAACAAUUCAUAUCGUCAAAUAUGAUCUAAAGUAUUUAAAACUUAUAGAAAAUAAAUUUCGUAAUUUUUUAAAAUCAUAAUAAAAUCCAUUAAGUAAGCAUAAAAUAAAAAGUCAGAAUCAAACGAUGUCUUAAAAAUGGAUAUUAGGAUACUUCAAUUUAUGAUCANACUAUAUUCUUUAUAAGUAUAGAGCCUUUCGUACUCAUAAGUUGUUUUCAAUGAUAAAGCUUCUGAAUUAAUCAACAAUUCAUAUCGUCAAAUAUGAUUUAACAGUUGAUAUUAGGAUACUUCAAUUUAUGAUCAGAGUUAUUGAUCUUUAUCUAGAUAGUGAAUAUAGUUUUCUAUAAAAAAUUCAACCGAUUUUGAUUCUUUAACACAGUUAAACUAGCAAGUAUCUUAUAUCAACUGUUAAAAACUAUCAAUUUUAAGAUUUUUUUAAUCGUAAGGUAAAUGAUAUCAAAAAAAUAAUAAAAUUUGAUUUUUAGAAGUUCUAAAUGCUCUAGAUAAUGUUUAACUUAUAACCGAAAAUAACUUAUAAGUACGAAGGCAGGGGAAUCUCUCUCUCUAUAUAUGUAACAAUAACUACCUCAACAUUUUCCAUCACAAUUAACAAGUGCCAUCAUUAUAUAAAUUUACUAAUUAUAAACUAAACUAUUAAAGAAAUUGACUUGGCACGUGCCACACAAUCUAACAUAGAGUCAAGCAACCAAUAUUGAUCUCCUAAACAUGAAAUUAAUAUAUAAUAUUUUACUAAGACUUGGUCAAAUAUUUCAUAUUAAUCCCAAUAAGGGAAUAUAUAUAACUUGCUAUGCAUGAAGAUGCUUUAUGCAUAUAUCCCCUAUCUAUUUCUCCUCUCCGACAUUCUAUUAUUUUAAAAUUUCUUUUUUUUUAAAAAAAUAAAGUUGAUUUUGAAUUGUCAAUUCAAGUGGGUCACCAAAAUGUUAGGUUUCACCUAACCAAGAUUUCCAAGGAUACCAAUGUAGAAAUUCAAGAGGGCAUCUUCAUGUAUAUAUUUUAUAUGAAAUAUUAUUCUAAGUGUGCGGCUAAUGGAAUCUAUCUCCUAUAUAUGUUGGUUUCUUGUAACAUGUAUUAAUUAUAGGUUUUCAAAGUAGGGUUAGUAAACUUUUUUUUGUUCUUAAUAAAGUUUCGGAUUUUUAGUGGUCCACUGUAUAAAAGUUUGGAUUUUUCUUCUUGUCAUUAAAGAGUGUAAAUAUUAUAUAAUUGAAUUCAACAAAGUUUAGAUGAAGGAACCAAUGCUCCAACACAACAAGUCAAUGAAGAAUAUUUCUCGUGGCAAUAAUAUUAGAAAAUGUGGGUAUAUUUGCAUCUGAUCAAAAGAAAGAAAAUGUUGGCAUAUUUAAGAGCCUUUGUGUUAUAAGAAAAUAUUAAGAAUAUUAAGAACCUGAGGUACUGAGAUCGAAUUUCAUCAAGCUCCUAAUAUUAUUUAAUCUUCUUUUAUCUAAUUCAUGCUUACGUCUUGGAUUUAUCAAAAAAUCUCGAACACAAACGUGAGUGGAGCGAUAGAUACAAAUAUUAAGAACAUUGUUCCUUGGUUGCUUAAGAUAUUGGAGAACAUAUCGGUUGUUUUACGUUAUUUAACACUUUGUUGCAUUUUGGAGCUUCGAUCUAUAAAAGUGUUAUUUAAAUAGAACUAUUCGAAAAAAAAAAUUAUUAUAAUGUUUUCUUUAAAAUAUUUGAUGGUUUCUCAUGCAAUAAAAACUUUAAAUUUUGUUUGUCAAACACCUGCCUAACUAAUUAAAACACGCCAAAAGGCGCUAAAACAAAGUGGAUGUUAUAUUAAGAUAGAAAUUCCACUCAAAUUAAUCAAGGUAUCUAACCUAAUUAAGUUCAAAGGAAACGUUUGAAACUUUCUUGGCUUUUUGCGUAUCUCAUGAAAAAGAUUGUUCAAGAAAAGGCUUUGAAUUCCUUGUUCAAAUGUUUACUAUAUAUGGGAAAAAAAGGAUUUAUUUGAACAACAAGUUCUAUGUCCUAUGACCAAUCUCAAUUUCGUUUUCUAAAUUGUUCUACAUAUAUUGUUUAGGUCAAAAGAUUCUCAUGCAUGUUGGACAAAACAAAUUAAAUACAUUAAUUAAUCAAUGAGCCCUAUGUCACAUUCCAUUACUCCUCCAAAAAGUUGAUAGUAGGAGGAUUUGGUAUUAGAAUUUGGAAGCAAAAAAAUAAUAAUAUCUUUUAGCCGGCUAAUCUUUACUUGGAUAUAUGGACAUGAUCGAUUUUAAUAUUUUUAAUUGAUGUUUUGGUACUAUGGUAUAUAUAUUCCACCAAACACUUUAAAAAUUAAAUACCAAUCUUUGAACCGAAGUACCAAAAUGGUACUUAUCUAGUUAACAAGUGAUCAAUAUAUAUAUAUAUAUAUAUAUAUAUAUAUAUAUAGAGAGAGAGAGAGAGAGAGAGAGAGAGAGAGAGAGAGAGUGAGUGAGGCUACUAUGCUAUCGGAAGCACGGAGCGUNNNNNNNNNNNNNNNNNNNNNNNNNNNNNNNNNNNNNNNNNNNNNAUAUAUAUAUAGAGAGAGAGAGAGAGAGAGAGAGAGAGAGAGAGAGAGAGAGUGAGUGAGGCUACUAUGCUAUCGGAAGCACGGAGCGUUCCGUACUUUUAGCUCGUUUUCGAUGUUGCGACUUUUGAAUCGUCGAUCGGCUCCGUUAAACUUGAUCUAGAGUAUUUGAAGUACCUAGAAAAUAAAUUAUGCAAUUUUUCGGUAUUAUUUACCUAGUGAACCAAGGGGCUCAAAAUCAACGGUUAAAAAUAAAAAUCUUACAAAACGUGAUAAUAUGACAUUAAAGUUUUAGAUCAAAGAUAUUGAUCUCGUUUUAUAUAGUAUAAAGAAUUUUCUAUCAAAAUUUCAGGCGAUUUGGAUAUUUCUACACCAUUAAACUUGCAAACGGCUCACUACGGCCAUUAAAAUUAUUGAUUUUGAGCCCCUUCGAUCACUAGGCAAAUGAUAUCGAAAAAUCAUAAAAUUUAUUUUCUAGGUACUUCAAAUACUCUAGAUCAAGUUUAACGGAGCCGAUCGACGAUUCGAAAGUCGCAACAUCGAAAACGAGCUGGAAGCACGGAAGGCUCCGUGCUUCCGAUAGCAUAGUAGCCUUACUCUAUAUAUAUAUAUAUAUAUAUAUAUAUAUAUANNNNNNNNNNNNNNNNNNAUAUAUAUAUAUAUAUAUAUAUAGAGUUGGACUGGGCUACUAUUAGUAGCAAAAUCUCAUUGUUACUACCAGUUUUUUAGCCUUUGGAUCAACUCUUUUCAUUAUUUCUAACCAUUGGAUUAAAUACUAUAACCCAGUAGGGACCACUCAACCCUAGGGGGACCACUCAACUCUAACCAACUAAUAUCAUCCCGACCCUACAAUUUUUCAUCCAAGGGUUAAAAACUUGAUAGCAAAAAGAGCGUUUUAGUAUUAAUAGUAUUCCAGUCUAAUUCUAUAUAUAUAUAUAUAUAUAUAUAUAUAUUUUUGUGAACUGAGCCAGCUCAGUGCCUACUAGACUAAGAGUCAAGACUAUUAAAAGAUGGGCCUUUGAAAGAUACAACGGGCCUCUGGAAAUUCUCUCUCUCUCUCUCUCUCUCUCUCUAGAAAAUAUAAUUUUUCCAAGGUUACAGAGGGUUUUUAGAAAAGCAAACCUCAAAUAAUAGCAUAACAUGCUUGCGAAUCAAAGGCGUUAAUUAUUAAUUUUAAAAACUCAAGCGGUUAAAAAGGACGCAAUUCAUUCACUUAGAAUGCAUAGACACAUAGACCGACUCUUUAAGACAAUAGUUUCCUCGCGACAUCUGAACCUAUAAGCAGCAUGCAAAGAUCGAAUCUACGUCACCAUCUCAUCCUGUUAGAAUAGAUGCAACACAUUCAUUUGAAGUACAUAAAUAUAUAUACAACGCCUCACAGGCUUCGAUUGUGAUUCGGUCCAAUCUAACAUUCGUUACAAGAUAGAAUGCUGAUUCAUUUAAGCUAACAAUCCAAGCAUAAUUUUCUUACCUCUCAUACCAGCAUAUGCAGAUAUUUGUGUGUUAGCAUUGCAUCAAUGUGUAAACUUUUGGACCACCCACAUCAAGCCCACCAAGGGAUCCAAUUUUAGCCUUCUAUUUAUUCCUAAAUAUCUAUGCCCCAUGUUAUAUAAAAUAUACACAGCAAACAAUUCUCACAUAAAAUGAGUAAGGGGCGCAUUUGAUACGGCGUAAAAUGAGUCAAAAAUUUAUUUUCAGUAUGAAAAAUAUUUUCGUGCUUAUUUGAUUCGACAUAAAAAUAAUUUUUUGUAAAAAUUUUAUUUAGGAAUUUGAAAAAAAAAUAAAAUUUUCGUCUUUCACUAUUUUUCAAUAAAGAAUGAAAAUUCAAACUGUAUAAAAUUUUUUAUUCAUUUUUCCUAUCAAACCAAAUAAAUAUAAAUUUUUUUUCUUUCAAUCAAAUAAAUAUUAAUAAAAAAUUAAUUUUUUCAAUUAAAUAUUUAUAAAAUUUUAAAAAAAACUUUUUUUUUUUUUUUUUUGUACGUUCAACCAAACGGAUACUAAACCAUUAUAUUUUUUAACUAAUCCCGAAGAAGAUAUAACACAAUUGAAAUGCACUCUAACAAAAGCACUACAAAACCACUCUCCACGCCUACACCUCUCUCUCUCUCUCUCUCUCUCUCUCAUCACCUCCACCACCAACAUUAAUGGCGCUCCUCCCCCUGCACCUUCUCCUCCCCCUCCCUCUCUCCCCUCUCCGCCCCCCAAAACUCCACCUUCACCGCCCCGCGAAGCUCCGCACCAUCAGAUCCCUCGCCGGAACCCUAGACGGGGCCUCGCCGGAGAAGCCGCGGAGGUGGGAGAGGGCGCUCUCCGCGGCGGCGAGCCUCUACCCGGUCUACGUCACCCUCGGCGGCGCAGCCGCGUGCGCGAACCCGGGGGCCUUCACGUGGUUCGUGCAGCGGGGCCCCGCGUCGUAUAGCUUCGCUCUAGGGUUCAUAAUGCUCGCCAUGGGCCUAACCCUAGAGCUCAGGGACCUCCUAGGUCUCUUCCGCAAGAGGCCCUUCUCUGUGAGUUUCAUGAGAAUUUCGCAAAUAAAUUUCUUUUUUUUUUAUUCAAUUUGCAUGUUUUCUUAAUGGCUUCUUUUUUCGUAAUAUUGAGCUUAUUGCAACCACAUUUUGAAUGGAAUUGAGUUUGUGGGGAUUGAAAUGUUAUAUAAUUCAAGGCCUUUGAUGUUAUUAAGUAGGGAUAGUUGUCUAUAUACCCCUCAUACCCCUCGUACGUUUAAAAAAUAUCCGAUUUAUCUUUAAUUUUUUUUUUUCUAAAAUACCUCUCAUAUGUUCCACCGUUAUUGCAAAAUACUCUUGCAGGUAUCUCCUGUUAAGUUAACUUGGGUUCAAUGUGAGUUAAAUAACUACCACAGUUAAAAAAAAUAAAAUGCAAAUUUUGUCCUUAACUUAAGGGCAAAUAAAAAAUGUUGGUGACGGUAGAGGGGUAUAUUGGAAAAGACUAAAAGUCAAAAUACUUUUUGUGCCCCUGACUUUAAAGGCAAAUAAAAAAAUCGGUGAUGAUGGAAGGGUAUAUUUGAAAGGGCAAAAUAGUAAUUUUACAGAGAUAACAGUGUUCAUUAAUAGAUUUUAACUCUAGGGGUAUAUUAGAAAUAGGUUGGAAUAUAAAAAAAGGUAUUUUCAAUAUUAGCCUUCUAAGAGGGGUAAAUCGGAAAGUCGAGAACUUUUCAGGGGUAUAUAAGCAAUUACCUCUAUUAAGUAUUAGCACAACUACUUUUACUAUUCACAAGGAGAUUUAUCGAACUUAGCCACUAUUCAACAAUUAAAUUUGAUCACAUUCAAUAAAUUUGAUCUGUAUACGGGCGCCACUACCUCAGUAUCACACCUCUCUUUUUUCCUCAGUUUUUGGGUUGUGUUAUUAAUGCGGUGACAAAGAUAUUCAAUGAACCUGAUCAUUAAUUCUUUGUAAACUACAUUUGACCACUCUACAAAUAUUUUUAAAAAAGGCAAAAAAAAUUGACCAGAUUUAAUGAAUCUGAGUUGUAGUUCUGAUCAUUAAUUCUUUGUAAACUACAUUUGACCACUACAAAUAUUUUUAAAAAAGGCAAAAAAAAUUGACCAGAUUUAAUGAAUCUGAGUUGUAGUUCUUUUGUUCGUUUUGUAAUGUUCUCAGAUAUUGUUCGGUUGCGUUGCUCAGUACACAAUAAUGCCAGCUUUCGGAGCUAUAGUUAGCAAAGCACUUAAUCUCCCCCCCUCGCUCUCGGUUGGUCUCAUUCUUCUAGCAUGCUGUCCUGGUGGAACUGCAUCUAAUGUGGUAAAAUAUGUGCAAAUUUCGUAUCUUAUUAUGCUUUCGUACUUAUUUAAAUCAUUUUUAGUUCAUAGUUAAUCUCCUAUUAUCGACAUGAUACUUUGUGGUCCUAACUCCUUUUAAAGAGUCACUUUUGGUCCCUGAGGAUAGUCCAUUUGAUAACGACUUAUGAAAUGCUGAAUUGCUUUGAUUUGUCUAUGAGCGGUUCAUGUUUUUCAUCUCAAAUCUAGAAGAGGACAAUUGAUCAUGGUUGACGUGGUCCAAUGAAUUGAUAUUGAUAUUUAAAAAGAUCUCAGAGAUGAGAGUAUCGCUUUAUGUGACUGAGAAGGUUCCAAAAGUAUAGCUGGAGAGUUGGCAUGUCCUUUUUGUCAGUUAGUGAGUGAUUUAGCUUUUCAAAGUUGAUGCAUGUACAUAUCAGGUUUCGUGAUUCAAAUUUUUAAAAAAACUCAAUCAAUCAUUAGCUGCCACCUCUGCAGCGUCAUCCAGGGACAUGACCCAUUUAUUCAUCCAUAAAUCCUACCAAGACAUUGUGAUCUUCAGUUCAUUUGUCUAUUUGAAUCGGUUAAUAUUUCCUUUUCAUGGAUCAAUAGUGUUUAUAUACUAGCAAGGUAUCUUAAGAGUUAAGAAUGGUAGUGUAGUAGCAAAAGCUAAUUCAAGAGAAAAGAAGAGCAAAUAUUUCUAUUCCAAGAAGAUAAAAAAGCAGAUAACACCAUCAAGAUUGAGAGAAUAUGUUCAGUUGUAAUCCCCACAUCAAACCCCGUUACUUCUUGCUUGAUUGCACUAGACAAAAGCAGUUUAAAAUGGCUAAUAUAAAUGAAAGCUUACUCUACUAGCUAAUAAUAUGCAUUCUUUAACUUUUGACUCCUCCCGCCUUAUUAGUUUCUCUCUAAUAGUGUUUCAGGUGACUUUGAUCGCCCAAGGUGACGUGCCGUUAUCAAUUGUAAUGACUGUGUGCACCACUCUAACUGCAGUCGUUCUCACCCCUCUGCUAACAAAAAUUCUCGCUGGAGCCUAUGUCCCUGUGGAUGCCGUGAAGCUCUCCUUAAGUACUCUUCAGGUCAAAUUAUCUCCUUUUUACUCCUCAUUCAUCUCGCCUUCUCUUUAUUUUCUUCAUCUAAAUUCCUUCUUUUUCUUCUUGUAGAUAGUCGUUGCUCCGAUUUUAUUGGGCUCUUACAUGCAAAGCACAUUUCCAGCCGCCGUAAAAGUCGUCACCCCCUUUGCUCCCCUUCUUGCUGUAUUAGUUUCCUCACUACUUGCGAGCAGGUCCAAAGUUCACAGUAAAGUUUUGCACUUAUUUUUUUUACUUCUUUUGCUUUCAAAAUCAACUCUAUUUUCUUUAAAUGGUGUAGUGUGUUCUCCGAAAACGUUGCUCGUUUGAAGACAUCAUUAGCAGACACACCCUACGCCUCUGAUCAAGGCGCAAUUUUUGGAGAUCUGAAGACGGUCAUAUUGUCGGUCCUCUUGCUGCAUCUCGCUGGCUUUUUCGUCGGGUACAUUAAUAUAUUGAAAUUGUUUUACAUAUAGUAUUCGCGAGCGAAUAUGCUCUAACAUUGGAUGCUUUAUUCGCAGAUAUCUAUCGGCAGCGAUAUGUGGUUUCAAAGAAAGACAGCGAAGAGCAAUUUCAAUUGAGGUAUUCGCCGCUUAUUCUUGUAGUAACCCAUUUACCGCAAAUCGAGGAAUGGUGAAAUUCAAUACCAUUUAUUCCGACUUAUGUUAAUGGACACAUAAUCAACUAUGUACAGCUAUUUCAUAUUUAUUCACGCAUGUAUGGAUCAAAUCAUGAUUGUGUCGAUGUGAUUACAAGUUCAUCUGUUUUGUUCAGGUCGGCAUGCAAAAUUCGUCACUUGGUGUAGUUCUAGCAACUGCUCAUUUUUCGUCUCCGCUGGUAGCUUUGCCCGCAGCUCUCUCGGCUAUAAUUAUGAAUAUCAUGGGUAGUUCGCUGGGCUUCGUGUGGAGAUACGUCGAUCCAUCCGAUCCAUCCGAUACCAGGAACGAAUCCUAGUCCUUCGAUAGGACUCUUUUUGUUUUUAUUUUUAUUUUUUUUCGACUGUUCUAUGCAGUUAACAAUGUUAUAAAGCUGUGUAUAUCUUGGACCUUUUAAGACCUUGGCAUUAGUUGAAGACUCUUUUGUGCAAGGAUGCUUUGUGUAUAUGUAUGUGUAUGUAAUGCUUGGUUUUGUUGCAUAUGUAGUAAAAUAAAUGAAUUUCUCAAUUUGUUAAAAAAAUACUUCACUGAUUUUAUCUGUUUCCUUCUGUUUGGUUUUCCAAAAAAAUAGUUUUUUGAUUGGAAAAAUAUUUUCCGUCUCCUUGGUUUUUAGAAAAAGUAGUUUUUAAGAAGUUUUUUUUUUUGAGAUUUUACAAUAAAAGCAGUAUUUUUGUUUUUUGGAUUUUUUUUAAAUAAAAAUUUAUAACAAAUAAAAGUUUGAGGACCAAAGUGUAAUCAGAGUCAUAGUUUGAGGGCCAAAAGAGUAAUUUAACUCCAAGGUCUAAGAAUUAUUUGUUUGUUUAAUAUUUAAUUUAAUUUAAUUUAAUAAUUAUUUUUUUAUUAUUAAAUCCCAUUUUAAAACAACCGCGGCAAUUGGCGAUACCACCUUAUGAUGAUAAAUUCAAACUUCUUUUUUUUUUUUUUUUUUUUUUUUUUUUUUUGAUACUAUAAAAAUGGAGUCGUAUGUGGUCUCCUCCUAAAACCCGUUCUCCAUUUCCGAUCGCCGCGUAGAAGAGGGAGCGAGGAUUCGGCGAUCCGACGCCGCCGAUGAUUCGUGAUGGACGACGCGUUCGCGUUUUCCUCGGCGAGAUUCGGUUCGUCUCCUCCGCUUUGCUCGGUUUUUUGCUUUUUUUUUUUGUGUUUUUUGUUGAUGAAUUAGAUCGAAUUUAUUGGUUUCAUCUUUAUUGCUUUAAUGUUUGAGAUGAGAUCUAUCUGUUGCUAUUUAUUUAUUUAUUGUAUGAUUUGGGAGAUUUGUUAAGCAAUUUUCUCUAGAUUUCAUGUAUCUAUCUUAAUUUUGUAGAUGUUUGUAUGCUUUAUUAUCUUUAAUUUUUGUGUUGUUGUUCUUGUUUGGGGGUGGUAAAGGGAUCUGAUCACUGUGUGAACUCUAUCUGAAAUAUAAAUUAGGGAGUAUUUGGCCCUGCUUCUGCUUUUAGCAGCAGUAGCCUCAGUAGAACUGGAAAUUUUGCUGCAGCAGAAAACGGAAAUCAGAUUCCGAGCCUCAAAAGUAUGAGCUCCAAUUUGAUGUGUUUCCGGCAACAGUAGCCUUAAUGGAUAAAAGAGAAAAAUCUAGAGAUUUUGAUGCAUCAAGAAGCACAAACGAGAUUCGAAACCUCAGAAGAAGAAGCUCUAAUUUGACGCUAUUGAUUCUGCUAUGAAAAGAGCUUGUAUUGGGUAUAUUUGAUGUAGUGCUUCUCUUAACAACACUAUUCAUUAAUUCGUCAAAGUACAAACAGCACUAUAUUCAAACUUUUCCUUCAUUUCACUCGAAUUCUGUGAGUUGAAUUUCCUUUUACCUACUCUUGGUUGAUCUCUGGUAGUUUAUAUGGUGUGUUAUUGUGCGAAUAGAGAGUAUAUUAAUGCAACAAUGUCAAGUGUCGAGAUCAACUAGAUCAAAAGAGGAUCUGUAAAAUUCUACUCCUCACCAAGCCAUUAGUAAUUUUACUUCCUCCAUGUAAUCAUUUUAUUGAGGACACCUUUCUUCUGCUUAUACGCAUUCUGUUUUGAACAAGUUUUUCGAGAAAAUUAUUCAGUCGCAUGAAUUAGUUGCUCUGUGUAAGAUGAUUGCUCAAAGGUCGAUAUUUUUUAACAAAAAUUUACGAUAAACUUGAUGCCUUAGUUCCCUUUCAAUCUUACUUUUCAUAUUCAAGUGUCUUCAAUUGCUCAAAAUGCACCAUUUAUGCAACUGUGAACUUAUGUCGUUGUUGGGUUCGUUUGUCUCACAUAUAUUGUAGAAUCGAGAUUGGCGCACUGUGUGAUGAAUCUCUACAACCCAAAAGAAGAGCUUAAGAAGGAUCUCCAUCCUCCUAGGUAAAUGCAUGAUAACUGUAGUAAGUUCUAUAGUUAUAGAUACCAAUAAAGUAUUUUAUUUGUCUUAUUUAUGAUUGAACUGAUUUUGUUAGUAUUAGCUCUGUUCAUUCUCCUCAGCUACUUCAUGAUUUUAUUUUUAUCCAUUAGCAAGCAAAUAUAAAACUCUUAGAGCAUAAAAGUAAUAGGACAAAGUUACAAACUGUAUGUAUAGAUCAUUAUACACCGACAUUCGAAUUUGCCAACCAAGUUAACCUUCGGUUUUAUAUUUCACACCGAUAAAAGAUGCAUUUGUACAAUAAAGAGAGAAGGAAACAUCUAGGAAAAGGAGAGGGAAGAAAAAAGCACCAAAUAAAUGUUUUUUCGGUGAGAAAGCAAAGAACAGUUUUACAAUUUAUAUGAUUGAACAAGAAUUCGACCUCUUUUCAGAACAUAUCCACAAGCACCCAAAGGAAAUGUAGUACAAAGAAUCCCAUUCUGCACACACAAAAUGAAAUAUAUAUGUAUGAAAUAAAUUCAGAUCCCCUCACUCCUAGUUUACUACAAUGUUACAACAACACAAACUAAAACCCUCCCCUAGUGGAUUCAAACAUUCUGCGUAACUCCGACCGCAAAUGCACUGUGCUCCGUGUUGUCCUCACCACUUCUCGUCGUAUCUAACUUCUCCCCGUCGCCCCACAAUGCGUAGGCUUCUUCGCCGUGCACUGCGUCAUCUCCAAUCAGCAGCUGAUCAUCCGGUAUUCUUAGCGGGACCACAAGCUUAAUGACCAGACAAAUGAUAGAGGUCACAACGACGUUCCAUCCGAUGAUGAAUAAGGCGCCGGCUAUUUGUUUUCCGAGUUGCGACCCACCCACACCGCCAUAGACUGCGCCGUGAGAGUUGGUGACCGGGAGGAAGAGGUUGCAAAGAGUCUGUUCAGCAAAAAGCCCGGUGCUGAUACCCCCCAAAACGCCUGCAACGGCGUGGGUAUGAAACACACCGAGCGUGUCGUCGAUCGCUUGGAGCAAAGACCAAUGACGGUGGAUCACAUUCAUGGUGAACCAGGGGACGCUACCAGAAAGGACCCCCAUCACUAUAGCUGCCCAGCCUUGGACCACUCCUGAGAAAGGCAUGAACAUAUAAGGUUGGUGUUUUUGAUGUUUCUAUAUCUUUGUGCAAACAAAUAGUAGGUUGAAUGUGGACAUCUCAUUAGUGUAAAUGGAAAUCGGUAUUGAUCCGUCCGGUCCGGUGAACCAGAUCAACUCUGACUAGAUCUAUAAAAAAUCGGGCCAGGUGGGCAGGUCAGAACUUAAAAGGUUGGAUCAUUUUUGCUUAGAGAUAUUCACAGUAUCGCAAACUAUGUAGCCUUGGUAGAACUAGUAUUUUACUGGAGUUCAAUAUGUUUUCUCUCUUUUGAGUAAAUCAGUGUUUAACUUUGAAUUGCAUAUAUGGUGCUUUUACAACUAUAUACUCCUGUAAAAUCUGACUUUUUUUUCCUAUAUGCUCUUCAAAAGUGCAUUUUCUUAUAAAAUUAUCUUUAUCUUAUGCUGCAGUAUACCGAGAGAAGUUUUUACAAGGGAAUAUGCGAAAAGCUCUUUAUCUUAUGCUGCAGUAUACCGAGAGAAGUUUUUACGAGGGAAUAUGCGAAAAGCUAAGUUCAUGAAGAAUAUCAUAUCUCUGAAAAGAUAUCAGAAAACAGUCUCACCACAAGCUGUUGGGAUAUUUUCAUGCAGGUUGAAUUAAAGAAACAUGGAUUCAGGAUCAGAUCCAAUGUCAACAGCAUGGUAAAACUUCAAAUUAUCCUUUCUAAAUUGCUUUGUUGAGUAUCAGAAUAGCUACUUAAUUGCUUCGACAAAUCAAAAAGGUGACUUGGUCAAUAACCAGUGAUUUGUUCUCAUAUUCAGUGUUAUGUGUGGUGGAAACUGGAAAUUCUAAACCAUGGGCUUGGCAUUUUGUUCUUAAAACUGUGUGGAAAGUCAAAUUGCACAGCUGGAAUUGAGAGAUCUGCUUCCAACUACAGCUGAAAUCAAGCCUACAGUUGCUGAAACACAGGUACUUUUUAUAAAUUUAAGUUAUUUCCAAAGAAUAAAAUUUGAGGUUUUGUUAAAUCCAAUUGUGAUUCUGUUAAAUUUUAAUCUCUCGUAAUGGCCUUUUCAAGAUUUCGUUAACUAUUAUCGGCUAAUAACUAAUUCAACUGUUAAUUUUAAUGAAUUGAAAAGUAACUUAAAAGUUGAGGCCGUGUUAAAAAAAAAAAAAAAAAGAAAAAAGUGGAGGGCUAAUUUCAAAAUGGCCUAUAGCUUAGGGGUGUCCAUACAUUUUUACCUUUUAAAUUCUUCCAGUUAGGUCAUAAGUGCUCUCCAAUGUGGAGCUUAUUAAACUCUUUAUUUACACCAUUUUUUAAACUAAAAAAAGAGUACAAGGCAUCCAUAUUAAAUAGUCUAAGUUAAUUAAAGGAAAUUAAAUUAGGCUCGAAUUUUGACCAGCCAAUAUAAAUUAUGUGUAGAAAUUCUCACAUAAGUUGCUUAUAACCAAUAACAAUAAAAAUUCAAGUUGAGAACCAGUGUCAAUUAAAAAUGCAAAAAACAUACAUGAGACUUAUCUCUAAAUUAAAAGUUUACACCAAUAUCAAAAUCAUAUAGUAUUAGAGAUAAUCCAUAUAUUUUUUAGGAAACUAAUCAAAGUUGUUAGGAAUCCGAAUGGGAUAACCCAUUUUGUUCGAAUUAUAAAGGAUUCAACCUGAGAGUGGUUUUCUUAUUAAGGAUUUAUUUUUUGGAUCCAGUUAUUUUUCGGGAUCGGUGCGGGAGCACCAAUCUCAUUUGAUUCCCUUUAGAAAAUAGGGAAUAUUUUCAAGUGUGUCACUAUUCUAUUAUUGUUGGAUCAUGAUUCUCCUUGGCCACAUCUGGGGUUUCCUCAUUCUUAAUAAGUGAUUGGCUCCAAAUUAGUCAAUAUCUCUUUAAAUUAAUACUGUAAGCGUCAGAAACACGGAUUUUGUUGUUUUAUUAUAGGUAAGCUUGUACGAAACUAAAAUUAAGAUAUACUUGAAAAUAGAUAUUAAUUAAAAUGUAGAGUUAAUUGUAUACUAUAAUUAAUUAAAAUAUACUUGAACAAUAUUUAAUGGAACGAUGAUGAUUCCAUGACCCCACGAGAUUGAGAUUCCAAAAAGCCGGCUUUUGACUUCAGAAAAAUGAAGACAUUAAUUUUGUAAAUUCUGGGUAUCAGGUUGGUAUCAGAAUUAAAUGUUCUUUUCCAACUUUUUUAGGUCGAGAACCAAUAAUAUUUCAUAUCAAAUAAAACAAAUGGUAAGAUUCAAAAAAGUUACUCUUAACGACCCUGUAGUCUUAUUUGUGUUGCUAUUAAUUAGUGUUAUGUGGUUGUUUACCGCCUCGGUUAUGUGGAUUAUACUCCAUUGUUAUUAGGUUUUCUCGUCUAUUAACGAGUGGUUUAGCUUGGAAUAAAUCUCAGGAAAAAUUAGGAAAGACUCUGAAUGUUGUUUGAAUAGAGUUAUUUAGAAAAGUCUCAAAAUUCUUUUAUUUUAUUUUAUUUUAUUAGUGAUUUUAUUUUAAACUUGAAGGUCACGGUCUAAAUUAGAACUAUUUGUAGAGUCAAUGGAAACUCUAGGAAGUUCAUUUGUCGUGUCAAAAUUUUGUUGGAAUGGAGAUUUAUUCCACAACCUAACAGGAAUGGACACAGACUAUUAUUGUACUCCCAAUAGUUUCACAUCGGAUGGGGUACUGAUUCCGAUCAGUUUAUAUGAGACUUAUAUGCUAAUAAUCAUAACUGAGCUUAAAUAUUUUUGGCCGAUGGUUUGAGCCUAACGAGUUAUUUUUGCUAGCGAAUCGGGUCGUUACAAUUCUAAUAAAAAAAAAAUUUUAAAAAAAAAAGAAAAAAAAAAGGAAGGUUUACCGGCGCCGGGGGUGAUGCAGACGAGGCCGGUGAUCAUGCCCUGGAUGGCGCCGAUCACCGACGGCUUCCCGAAGACGAUGACGUCGAGCACGGUCCACAUGAGGAGGCUGGUGGCCGCGCAGACGUGCGUGUUGAGCACCGCCAUCGACGAGUCGAUGUUGGCCGAGUACGGGUCCCCGCCGUUGAACCCCGUCCACCCCAUCCACAGCAGCCCCGCCCCCGCCAGCAGCAGCAGCACGUUGUUCGGCGGGAACCGCUCCCUAUCCGCCUGCGACCUCGGCCCCACCUAUGCAGCAGGAGUAGCAAACGUGUUGAGUCAAAAGAUCUUAUAUAUACGUCCUUUUCUACUUGAGAAGCAGAAGUUAAAAAAAAAAAAAAAAAGGGAUACGCACCCAGUAGGCGGCGGUGAUUCCGGCAAUGCCGGAUGAGACGUGGAUAACGUACCCGCCCGAGUAGUCGAUCACCCCCCAUUGGAACAGAAACCCCCCGCCCCAGAUCGAGAAAGCGCCGAUCGUGUAAGAGAAGGUGAUCCACAGCGGCACGAACGCCAUCCAGGCCAAGAAGCUCAUCCGGCCGAGGAGCGAGCCCGCGAGGAGAAUGACGGUGAUCGCGGCGAAGACGCACUGGAAGUAGACCAUGGAGGCGGCCGGGUAGAAGGGCGCGACCAUCGGCGUCUCCACCGCCUGCCCGCCGCGGUAGUAGUGGGUGGAGGCCGGGAGCGUCGACUGCGCGAUCAGGAACUUCUGGUCCAGGGCCGGCCGCGCCUUCCCCCAGAAGGGGAGGAGCUUGUCGCCGAAGGACAUGUUGUAGGCCCAGGUGACCCAGCAGAGCCAAACCGCGGCGAAUGCGUAGAGGGCCAUGAAGGCGGAGUUUAUGGCCCACUUCUUCUUCACGAUGCUCCCGUAGAGGAUCACGAGGCCCGGCAUCGACUGCAGGCCGACGAGCGUCGCCGACGUCAUCUGCCAUGCGUUGUCGCCCUUGUUCAGCCACUCCGGCGACGACGACGAGUUCUGGUACGCCGCCGCCACCGCGCUCGCCAUCUCUACGACCUAGCUAGUUUACGUGAUUUAUACCUAAGGGAAUGAAUGAAUGAUUGAAUGAAUGAAUGAAUGAAUGAAGAGCAAAUGAUGCUCUUCUUUUUUACUUCCUUCGCCUUAUGAUAUAAAGAGGAGUAGAAAACAAGAGCACAAAAUGAAGGCCGAGAGGGAGAGUCGUAGUGAUUGAGAGUUUUAGACGAGCAUUUAUAGUGGCAGGGGAUUCAGUGGGAAAGGGUUUAAAAAAAUAAAAAAAAAAUAAAAAACUUUAAAUACCACCUUCUGUUUCAAAUUUUUUCACUUUAAUAUUUUAUGAUUUGAAAUAUAUCAAUUUAAUAUCCUGUAAUUUUAUUUUUAUUUUUUUAUUAUCGAUUUUACUAAUUUUUUUGUUAAAUCAGUGACAAAGUUAAAACCAAAGGAUACUAAAGUGAAUAUUUAAUAAACUUAGGUCGGUAUUUGAAGUUUUUUGUAUAUAAUUUAAUAAAAUAUUAACAGAAAAGAUAACAAAAAAAUAAAAAUGAAGCUAGGGGACUCUAAUUUGAUACAUUUUAAAUCACAUGGUACAAAAGUGAGAACGUACAAAACUGCAGGGUGCUAUUUGAAGUUUAUUCUAAAAAAAAAUAUGAUUUUGUGUGUUGAGUAGCAUUAGGUACUUAGAUAGCAUUAGGUACUUAGAUAUAAUAAUAUGCGGAGUUUUAAGGCUGAAGUAGUGGAUACUAAAUAGAUUCCUCUCAUAUUAUAUUCAGGAGAAUUGUUUUCUUUUUUUUUUUUUUCGUUAGAAUAUUCGUAUUCGUUUGCGUAGGUACAUACACUGAUCGUUACCUGUGUAUUUAUUUGUUUAUUUUUAUAAGGUGUGAAUGGAGAAUCUUAUUUUUCAACGGUCGUCUUGGUUAGGGUUGUUACGUAGGCUCAAAUUUGAACCCCAAACAAGUUAGUUAAAUUUGAUAUCCAAGUGAACCUAUUAGCCAAAUCCUUAUUGUCUUUGUUGAGACCACUUCUCAAUCAACUUUAUUAGAUUUAUCUUUUAGGAUACCAUCAAAAUGGGUAAUUAUUUCUUUUAGUUUCAUGUGGUAAUUGGUUCUUGUUUUUAUAUUCACAGUGAAAUAAAAGUGGACUGGUAUGCUUCUGGAAGCACAGAGCUUUCUGUGAUUUCAAGUUGUUUUCGAUGUUCGGACUUUCGAAUCGACGAUCGGCUCUGUUAGAGUUGAUUUAGAGUAUUUGAAGUACCUAGAAAAUAAAUUUUGUGAUUUUUCGAUAUCAUUUACCUAGUGAUCGGAGAGGCUCAAAAUUAUUAAUUUUAACGGCUGUGGUGAGCCGUUUGCAACUUUAACGGUAUAGAAAUAUUCAAAUCAUAUGAAAUUUUGAUAGAAAAUUCUUUAUACCGUAUAAAAUAAGAUCAUAACUUUGAUCUAAAAUUUUAACAUCAUAUCAUCAUAUAUUGUAUGAUUUUUAUUUUCAGCCGUUGAUUUUGAGCCACUUCGAUCACUAGGCAAAUGAUAUUGAAAAAUCGCAAAAUUUAUUUUCUAGAUACUUCAAAUACUCUAGAUCAAGUCUAACGGAGCCGAUCGUCGAUUCGAAAGUCCAAAUAUCGAAAACAACUUGAAAGCACGGAGCGUUCCGUGCUUCCAGAAGCAUACCAGACGCACUCGAGAAAUAGUUGUUUUCUUGUAAAAGUUUAAGUUACUAGGAAAUAGUAUUUUAGUAUUUUUAUUUUUAAAAACAUGCAGAAAAUAGUCCCCAUAUUUUGGAUACAUAUUCAAAGCGUGAAAUGGGUAUGUGCUGCGAAACUUAAACAAGUACUAAAAAUUCACAUAAUAAUUGGAUGAAACGUAGGGAUUACGUCUAUCAAGAGGACUCUGGGAUUUUCACAUCAUCUUUUUUUUUUUAGUUUAUUUAUACAAGUCCACUCUUUUUGCCAAGGAGAAGAAGCAAUCUCUUAUGAAAUGUUCAAAAAGUGAUUUAGCCAAAAAUAAGCAGAGAUUCGUUUUAUUUUAAAAAAUAAUAAUAUAAUUAAAAAAAAAUGAAAUGAAAUUAAUCAGGAUAAACUAACUGGGUGCAUUACAGCUUAUCAUAAGAAAUCAUGAUCUAAGAACCUUAUGUUCGACUUUUGAAAACUUAUUCACCCACUUAAUAGAUUAUUUUCAUGUUUAAGAAAUAUUAAAGAAAAACAUUUUUUCUUACGUAUAGUCAAAACUUUUGGAUUACUCGAUAUUUAUCAUCUCAGUACUUAAAAAAAAUAAUUUUAAAAAAGUCAAAGAAUCUUUCCGAAAAGAUUUAGAAAUAAUGGAUACUUUUUAAAAUAAGUAAUGCUAGAUAUACACCCAAAAGUGAUGUAGACUUUACGUCGAUUUCAUUCAAGGAUGGGAUUCACUCUACAAAUCACAUCAUGUGACUAAUAGAUGAUUCUCUAUCUUUGGAUGGAUGGAAAGUAGGAUAUACACUCAUUUUUUAGUGUACACAGCUGUUUUUCUUUUGAAUUUAUUCUAAUUUAUAAUAAUGAAUAUGGAGUUUUCUAAUAAAUCCACUUCUCUUUUUUUCUUAGUCAUCCAUAUGAUUUGACUUGUUGAGAGGCGCGUAUAUACAAUUGACAUUUUUUUGUUUUUGUCCUAAUUAUGUGGUGCACAAAUUGUGCUUUAAUGGGCUCCGUAAACCAAACAAAAUUCAAACUGAAUCCGAUCCAAAAUAAAAAUAAAACCAAUUCUAAGUUGGAUCAUUUAUAUUAGGUGCUAAGAGGUUGAUCCAUGCCAAUAACUUUUUUUUUUUUGCCUUUUAGGGAAAACUUAAAUAAUAAAAUCUUAUGCCAUAGGUUAAUGGAUUCAAUUUUACUACCAUAUUACUGUUUCAUUGUUAUUUUGAUUCUCUAUAAAUAUUUGCUGUUUGAAUGCGUAAUAUGAUGUCUACAUUAUAGUUUUCAGUAUAUUUUAUCUUUUUUUUUUAGAAAAGUAGUUUAUAACAAGCUUCAUUCAUUGAGAAGUAAAAACUGGAAAAUAAGAGUGACAAAAAAAAAAGGAAACUACAUAAUUUAAUACUCAUAAUGUUUUAAUAAGUUUUUUGAUUAUUACGCUCUCAGUUUUAGAUAGUAUAUUUAACAGUCGAUUCUUAUCUAAAUUCGAAAACUAUAUAUCAUCACUUUAAACAACACAAUAGUAGUAUUUUCUUUUUCUUGAGGAGUGCGACCCAAUAAAAAUUCCUUAGAUUUUGUUAUGUAAGUAAAUUUGUUGAGAAACUUUUAGCUUAAUUUGCAAAGAAACUAUUAGCCAAAUUCAUAAAAUAAUAACACCUGAAAAUCUCAUCAUCAUUAGGUUUCAAAUCUAGGUGGUUGGACAAAGUUUUUUUUUUUUCUCUUUUGUAUUUUUUUUUUCCUGGUCAAUAUCAAAGUUUCCUUUCAGGUAACUCUUCUGCACAACACUUGAUAGUGAUUGCUUGUGAUCAUACAUCACAAACAAAAUAAGAGAAUUGUCACCACUUCUAUAUAAAUAAAAAUAAAUUAUUGAGCCCAGUUGAUCAAAAUAUAAACUACAUAUAUAAUUACAAGAAAAGAAAAGAAAAGGAAUGUUUCCAUCAAAACCAUCUAACCAUAGUCCCCUACUGUAUGCCUUCUCCUUGUAGUUUGUUGGCUAGGUGUAAACCAUGACCUAUUUAUGAUUUUAUACAUGGCUCAUCAUAGGAAAUUUUUUUAGUUACAUCCAUGGAGUCGACACGUAAUAGGAGUUGUGAUUUAUUAAUUAACGCUGUUCUUAAUCUAAGGUUAUGCAUCUAUUUCUGUGUGCCAUUUUGAUCCAUUCGUCGUGUUACUAUCUUAAUGAAUCAUGAAUCACUAUCCUUCCUCUCUAGGUUCCAUGACAAUUACAUUAAUAUUAUUUUCAUAUAUAUAUAUAUAUAUAUACUAUUGAGAAGUAGCUUGCCUAGAACUGAGUUAACAGCUUAAUAUAAUAUGAUUGGCGAUGGUUAGUGUCUAACCAACAUAUUCGGUAUAUUGGAAUUGAUGGGGAGAGAAUUAGGGAUCAGAAUCAGUAUCGGAAUCGCAAUGGAAUAGAAUUAGAAAUUGACCUACUCUUGUUGUGCCAUUGGUUCAGCAUGUAAUUGAUACUUCAAAUAUGAAAAAAAAAGAGCAAUCAAAGUUAACACUUUUGGUGCAACAAUUUCAUUGAUGGUCUAAUUAUAGGAUUCAAAUAAUGUCACACUACAUCUCUAAUUUGUUAUUAUGCUUAUCAGUUUCAUUAACUAGGACUAGAACAGGAAAUAAUUUGAUAAUAACUUGAUUUCUUGUAGUAUCAAGGCAAAAUGAAGUUAUAUAUGUUGUUUGGUUAGGAAGAUACAAAUGCAUGAAUCAACUUAGUCGUAAGUGAUUCUCUCAAUCUUUAAUUCUAGAAUAUGAUAUGAUGUGGACAACCAACAAUGAGAGAACCCCAACCCAUUAUCAUUCACAUAAAAAUAUCAUUGACCUUCCCUUAAAUAGUUUAUUGGGGCAUUGUUUAAUCAUAUGAUGUCGAAAAUUUUAAAAUUCAACCUAUUUUUGACAAAAAGCCAAUAACUGGAGCUUCCUUCUUAAGGUGCGGUGCGGUGCCACACUUAAGGAGAUAUUACAAGCAAGAUUAUUUUUGCAAGAUAUGGAAAAGUUUAUUUAGAUAUUCAUGUCUCUUUAAAGGAGUGAAUCUCUUAAUAGGUACUCUUACCUUGCUUGAAUUUAAUCCUUUUUUUGAGAGAGAUAGGUAGCACGCUACCCGUUUCGUUUAUUUCAUUUAGAAAUAAACUUAGCUGAAAAUGUGAAUCAACUAGGAUUCGAACUUGGGUCUCAGGUACCAACCACCAAGCCCUUUGCCACGUGCUCUAGGAAUGGUCGGUGUGAAGUUAUAUUUAUCACAACAUAUAUUAUGUCAUCAUCAUCUUGGAACGGAUCGGGCCGGAGUGGAGCAUACUUGGGCCCUAUUGGGCCAAGGAGUUAACCUUCAUUAGCUUGGGCUAUCUUGGGCCUUGCCAAUAUAAACGGUAAGCGCAACGACCUCGAACCGCGCUUAUUCUAGAUAUGGAUCGGGUUCGGAAGGAUUUGGACCGCUUCAUGUUUCAUUUUACCGCCCAACAACCUUAUCUAGGUUUUCUAUGCUAAAUUGUUUGAGUGUAUGACAAACUGAGUUGAGUUGAGGAUUGUUAUGUCACUGGCACGAAGCGUGCCGCUGCGCCAUCAACACGACACGACACGACACGAGACGACACGACACACAUAGGUACUACGCACCCUCAUUUAUCGGCACGAGUAGCACAUUAAUUCAAGCUCGAAGGCGAAUUUACAGCAGAGCUAAUUCAACAGAAACUAAAGUGCUGAUAUAGAAGAGAAUUGCAUAUAGUUGUAACUGUAUUGCAGUUGUAACUGAAUGUAAAUAUAAAUUUCGUGUUUGGUUUGAUGUAUUUAAUUCCAACUGCUGCAAUAGGAACUGCAGGAGGAGGCCCAACUGCAGCAGUUCGAACUACACUCAAAUUGGCCGUAGUUCCAACUACAGCAGUUGGAAAGAGUAACUUUAAAUAAAAGAUAUGCUUACCUCAAUAUUUUUCAAACAAAAUUAUUUUUCUUUUUUACAUUGGAGGUAAUCUCACCAUCAUAUAUAUAUAAUAAUAAAAUUUUUAAAAUUAUUUCUCAACUGCAUGCAACCAAACAAAUUAUUUAUACUUGCAGCACUUUCUACUACAUCCAACCAAAUAAGAUUCAUAUAGUUAUAACUGUUGUAUUUCCAACUGCGUGCACCUCUAACUAACUAUACUGUAUUUAUAAUUAUAUCUAACGAAACGCCCCCUAAAUGAAGGAAAACCAGAAAAGAAAUAACUUGUCCAUUGAGAAAACACCACACCCAACUAGCACUUGUACACCAACAAAUCAACACUUGGAGGGAAAUAGUUGUAAAAAGUGAUCGAUAAAAUAUACAGUAGAGUUCUGAAGAGUUUUCGCCGAUCGUGCUUAAGAUGAAUAUUCUACAAAGCAUCUUAAAUAUUUCAUGAGUAAUAUUAUAACAUAAUAAACAACCGCCGACGAUUUUACACAGUUAUCGGGACAUGAUCAUACAAAAAAGAAAACAAACUGAGGAGGAAAAGAUCAUUAACUAACAUUUCAAAGCCAUAUUCUAAUCCUUUAGUUUCCUCCUUUUCUUUGUGUAGGCCAACAAACUUGAUCAACUGAUUUGGAAUUCUCCGCUAGCGUGGACUUCUUUAACUCUCUUAUCGUAUUCAUCCUCGCUGUCCUCCUCCUCCUCCGCUUCUUGCUCUUCGUUCCCUUGCCUGCCUCCUCUGUCGUCCUGCUCUUCGUCCUCCGUCCACCCGAAUCCCGCCACGGGCGUGGUCGACGGCGGCGGCGUCCGCGCCUCCGUCACGAUCUUCAUGAUCUCCUCGACACUCUGAAGGGAGUAAAUCGGGGCGGUGUUGUCUCUCUUAUAGUAUACUGCUUGUGCAGUUUCAGUUAGCUCCCUAGGCAAGUUCUUUAGGAACCAGGGGUGGUUUCUAAUUUCCCUUAUUGUUAUCCUCUGUGAGAGACAAAACGAGGUUCCGACAAUUAACAAACUAAUUUUUGACACAUGACACCGCAUGGAGGUUGAAAGUAUCGAAAGAGUUGGUAAAAGUUAGCAAAUAUGAAUGUUGAUCCUAACGAGAAAUUAGUUGGGCAUUUUAAUAUAAGCCAUGGCGGUCGCGCACGAAAUUGAUUCAUAUAAGCAUCGUUUCAACAUGUACCUUUGCUGGGUGAGGGACGAAGAUACGAGAUAGGAGCUGCCUGCAAUCCUGCGAUAGGUGGACGUAGUCUGGUAUUUUGUAUUGAAUCGACAUUAUCCUCUGCAAUCGAAGAACAGUUCAGUGUCAAAAAGCGUAGCGAGAAUUUUGUCCAUAAAGAUAGAAUAUCAUUUAAUAGAUCUCGCUUCGACGGAGGAAGGAAGAUGAGAUUUUAAAAGAAAUUUACCUGAAUGGUCUUUCUGAAAUUCCUAGGAUCGUCGGGGUCCUCAAAAGGAUAAGCUCCCACCAGCAUUACAUACAGGGUUACUCCGCAGGACCAUACAUCCGCCAACUACAUCAGCGAACAAUCACUCAUCAGUGAUCCAAGAGGAACACUAUAAAGAGGCAUAUACUAUAUUUAAAGAAUUUAAACAAAUAACAAACAACAACAUCAUAUUUUGUCCUUUUUACCUUUUACUAACAUUUUGUAGUACCUAAAGAAUGAGGCUGAAUGACCCAUUUUAACUUGCAAAACACGCAAACCAAGCAUCAUUAGUGCAUAAUUGUUAAAUAUUUUACAUUGGAACGAUUUUUAUCGCGCUCUCAACUCUAUCAUUUUUCAAAUUGUUGCUCCACUUAAAAUAUCCACUGGCUAUAUACAUCUUGCCUUGAAUCUGCUAGCGUAUUACGCUAGUUCUCCAUGUUCAAAUAAUUGUCAUUGAAAUUAAUGUGAUAUGCUCACAAGUUACCGACUAUUUCUAGUGCAAGUGACAAAGGAUUUGAUGGUUAGUAUCCAAGGUCCUAAGUUCGAAUCCUAGUUAAUUCAUUUUUCUAACUAAGUUUUUUUCUAAAUAAAAUAAACGAAGCGGGUAGCAUGCUUCUUAUCUCUCAGAAAAAAGAUAUGCUCACAGGUUACAAAUUUAGUCGCACAUGAAUUAACAAUUGAUAGGGUAGAGAAUGGAUAUGCGCGAUUGGGAUAUGCUACUUAUCUCUCUCAAAAAAAAAAAGAUAUGCUCACAGGUUACAGAUUUAGUCGCACAUGGAUUAACAAUUAAUAGGGUAGAGAAUGGAUAUGCGCGAUUGGGAAUGGAAAAUAGACUCAAUUUUUGAAAAAAUCGUCAUGCUAACUCCAAGGUAGAUAGGACCUUUCAUGGGCCUUUCUUUAAGCCCAAUAAAUCAGAAAAGAGAUGCAAUCUGAUAUUUGAACUUGGGUCGCAAUCAGGACGUAAAAUAUUUUUCACCAACUUCAUUAGCAGCCGGAGAUAUUUUGAGUUGGGAGGAGAUCCCAAUCAGAGCUGGGACACCUUCCUGAUGAUUGAAAAUUCAAUGGUGACGUCUUUUAAGAGAAUCAAUGGUGACGUCUUUUAAGAGAAUCCAAAAACCAAAUAAUGAGACUCCUGUGUGUGCAGUUUGUCAAAAGCAGGUCCACUGAAGACUACGACUGCUUCUACCAAGACAUUAACGUGGCCUUAACAGUCGUACAUUAUGAUGGUGAUGCCGACAUGGGGACCCACCAUUUUGACUCAGCAUGUGCGUAACGUAUUACGGCAAUUUUAGCUCUCUCUCUCUUCUUCUUCUUCUUUUUUCUUUUCUUUUUUUUUUUUUAAUUUUUUGACGUGGGUGAAAGCUCCAUAGCUAUUUUCCAUCACCAUGACGUAACAUUACACAACUAAAUUAGAAUUGAAAGAACAAAUAAGGCCGGGCUUCUAAAUGUUACUGCAAUUUAAGGUAUUAUCAGUAACUAUUCGAUAAAAUUAUGAAAUUAUUACUUUUCUCAAGUCUAAACUGAACAUGUCAAAAUGUCCAUUCGCAGGCCCAUCGGUAUACACGAAAUUAUACCUCAAGUUGUAACUCCGCGAAUUCCAGGAUAGAUUGUUAAAUCCAAGUAAACUAUACUACUCUCGAAGUCUCGAUCCAAAAUGUGACACACACUAAAGGUAGACAAAAUUUGACUCGUGGAACACAUGUGGAAGACCCAUAAGGGGACACGUCAACAUGUUUCAUUUACCUAUCUUAAUUUUCUCUCUCAAAAAAAAAAAACUAUCUUAAUUUUCCACGGAAAGGGAACUAACCCUAGCCAAACUGAAACAACUCUCUCCAUACGAUGGGAAAUGCGCAAAAAUAAAUAUCCUACAGUUUUGAAUUGGUGCACAAUUAUGGGUGCAAUUGGUUGGUAGGUGUAACAAUGGUUCGUUUUCAUGAGUAGGCCAUGCAAAUACCCCCACUGGAGGGACUAAAAUUCACUCCGAAUUCAAUCUUAGAGGACUUACAUCAUCCUAAUCGCAUAUUUUUUAAUUCAAGAACUAAAAAUUCAAUAGCAAUAUAUAUAUAUAUAUAUAUAUAUAUAUAUCUGGCCUUUCACACUUUCCCUCAACUGUUGGAAUAACUCAAUUCCUUCCUACCUUUCUAAUCUACAACAAUACCAAAAAAAUAAGAGAGAGAGAGAGAGAGAGAGAGAGAGAGAGAGAGAGAGACCACCCAACAACCUACCACCAACCCGUCCAAACCCAAUCCGAAGCUGCUGUGACAUGUGGCUUUGUCCAUGUGGGACCCGUUCACAUGGAGUCCACGUGUCAGCAUCACAACCAGUGAUACGAUAAAUGCUACGUUAAUUGAUAAUUCAUUUUAAAAAAAAGAUUUUGAACGGCGCGGUGAGGCCCAGUGCAUAGAAAAAUUUUAGAAAGCAACAGAUAUACUAGUAACGUGAUGUAAUAAAUUAAUUAAAAAAAAUUUUAAAAAAAUAUAUCCCAUCACAAUUAUAAAAAACUAUUUUUAUUAUAUUUUUAUUUAAAAAAAAUAAAUACGAACCAAAUAUGAUAGCGUAGAAUUCCUCCUGUGCGUGCGAAUGGAGUUUAACGAGAUUACGGCACUCUCAGCGGAUAAUAAGCACGUGUGAAGUCCACGUAACAGUCCCACGAAGGACGACCAACACCCGUGCGCCGGGUGCACGACACACCACGUACGCCGCGUUAGCAUCUCAUCUUCGUUCUCAAUCCAACGGUGGCGCACUGAUGCACCAUUACACCAGGUGCACGGAUAAUUUACGGAAAUAAAAAGGGUAAGCACGAAAUUACGAAACUGACCUUGCCAUCGUACUCGCGUCGCUGGAGCACUUCGGGGGCGAUAUACGCCGGCGUCCCCACCGUCGAUUUCGGCCUCGAGUGGAGCAGCGACGACUAUUCAAUUUUUUAAAAAAAAAAUAUAAAAAUUAAUUAAUUAUAUAAAAUAAAAAAAAUUAAAUAUAUCUUUUCGAAAUUUUAAAAAUUAUUAAAAAUAAAUGGAACCUUCGAGUAACCGAAGUCGCAAAUCUUAAGGCGGGGCGCGGGGUUCCCAUCCAAGAGAGUGUUCUCGAGCUUCAAAUCUCGAUGACAUAUUUGCUAAAAAAAUGAAAGUCAAAUUAUUUAAAAGAUUUUACUAUUUUAUGAAAUAAAUUCAAUUUUGGAUAUUAUGGAUUUUGUUUGUUUUUUUUUUUUUUCUACCAUGAAAUGGCAGUAGCUGACGCCGCAUAUUAGCUGCUGAAAAAAAUAUCUCGCCUGUGAAAAAAAUAUAAAUAAAUUAAGAGAGAGUUUUACUAAAAUUAGACUAGAAAAUUGGGAAAUUAACAAUAGUAAUAAUAAUGAGGCAAAAGUGCACAGGGACCCCUCAACUAUCCUAUUUACACAUCGUCUACGUUAUGUAAUUUAAAUUUUUUUUUCUUUAAAUUAAGCUACAGAUGCAGUUAAUGGAAGAGUAAAUUGGUUCCAUCUUACUAAUUCGAGUGCUUUUUCAGCUGAUAAUAAUACAGAAAACUCAAAAUUGCAUUACAUUUUACCAGAUAAUGGCAAGAAAUAAGCUCGUUAAUUUUAAUGAACUUUUAAUUCAAAUUUAGUAAAAUUACUCGAAUCAAAUCGAGGGAGCAAAUUUAAAUGGCGUAUAGUUAGGGGGGUUUUCCGUGCUUUUUUUUUUUUUUUUUUUACCAAAAUCGUCGUACCUCGUCUUCGCUGAACCUCCCAGCGGUGCAGAUCCGAUCGAAGAGCUCGCCCCCCGCGGCGUACUCCAUCACGAUCGCGAGAUGCGUCGGCGUGAGCACGACCUAAAACCAAAUCACAAAACCCUAAUCACCCCCCAAAAUCGAAACCCCGAACCGCGAUCGAAAUUGGAAACCCUGUGAAAAUUUGCGGAUCCCGAACCUCUUUGAACCGGAUGAUGUUCGGAUGCCGCAGCGAUCGGUGGUUGAUGAUCUCCCUCGCCACGUUCUCGUCGAUCUGCGGGGGGGGAGGGGGGGAAGGGACACACGAAGAGCACGAGGGAUCAGGGCCGUAGGAUCGAGAAUCGAGGGGCGAAAUGAGUCGAUCGGAACCCUAGUUUUUGUUGCCGUGGUUGUUACUUACCUUUUGGCCCCUAGGGAUGUACUUCAUGGCGACGAGCUCCUUCGUCUCCUUGUGGCGCAUGAGGCGCGCGACGCCGAAGUUGCCCGCGCCGAGGUCCUUCAGGAGCUCGUACUUGUCCAUGGCGAUCGAAAGGGGAGGAGGUCGAAGCUGGGAGAGAGAGAGAGAGAGAGAGAGAGAGAGAGAGAGAGAGAGAGAGAGAGAGGCGAGGGGAGUGGUUAGGGUUUCGGAGAGUUUGGAGGAGGAAGAAGACGAAGUAGAGAGAGAGAGAGAAAUUUGAUACGAUACGAUGCGGAGACAAGAGGGUGCGGUAUAAUUUAGACGGGUGGGGUUUUCAGUGAGAGAGAGAGAGAGAGAGAGAGAGAGAGCGCACGUGCGAGAGAGGAAGGGGAGAGAGAGAGCACGUGCGAGAGGAGAAGGGAGAAUUUGGUGACGCGGGAAUAGGGGGGCAAUUAUAUCCUGCACCGGGUGUAUAAACAUCUCAUACACCACACCUCUGAAAAGCUGUCACAGAGGUCUAAAAAAUCGAAAUAUCACUCACUUAGUCACUUAACAAUCGCCUCAUUUUUUACCCCUUACCAUUAUUAAGAUUAUGUAAUGCUUUAAAUUUUUAGAUCUCGUAUUUGGCACGUUGAAUUUGAAUUCUAAAACACUAAUAAUUAAAAAUUGAUAAAAAUGUAUAGACUUUAUUUAAUGGGUUAAUUUCAUAGGAGCCCUCACACCAACCCCUAAUUACAUGGAUACCCUCCAAAAAUUCUUAAUAUCAAAAAUACCCUUCAAAUUUAGUAAAAUUAUCAAAACUACCCUUAUUACCUAUAUUUUAAAAAAAUAUGGUUAAAAUACCCAUUUUACCCCUCUCACUCUUACAACAAUUAUAAUAUAUAUUUUAUUACCAAGAUAAUAUACUUUUACUAUAAGUAUUUUUCUAGUUUAAUUUAAUUAAUUUAAUAUGUCUUCAUUUUAACUAGUUUAAUAUGUCUAUAUUUUAUUUCAUUUAACUAGUAUAUAUUCAUUUUAUUUGUUUAAUUACAAAUGGAAUAAUUAGAUACUUUUUGUUAGAUUUAUUUUAAGAUUUUUAUAUUGUUUUAGAUGUAGUUUGAAAAUUCUUUAUUGUAGCUUUAAUUUAUAUUACUAUGAGUUUUUUUUCAUAUUUGUCUUUUUAUAGUUUACUUUGAUUAUUUUUUAAAUCUUUCUAUUAUGUUAUAUAUAGUUUGAUAGUUUUCUAUUUUAUCUUUGAAAAUUUUUUUUGAUAGUUUUCUAUUUUAAAUGAAAAAAUAAUUAAAAUAAUCAAAGUAAACUAUAAAAAGACAAAUAUGAAAAAAAACUCAUAGUCAUAAUUUUUUUGAAAAAAUAAUCAAAUUAAACUGUAAAUAAAAAACAAAUUAAAUUAAACUAAAAAAUACUUAUAAAAAAAUAUGUAUUAUAAUUGUUGUAAGAGUGAGAGGGGUAAAACUGGUAUUUUGGCCAUAUUUUUUCUGAAAUUCAAGUAACAUGGGUAGUUUUGAUAAUUUUACUAAAUUUGGAGGGUAAUUUUGAUAUUAAUAAUUUUUGAAGGGUAUCCAUGUAAUUAGGAGUUGGUGAGAGGGUACCUAUGAAAUUAACCCUUAUUUAAUUUAUCAACCAUUUCGAAUCAACUAUCCUACCUGUUAAAAUUUUGAUUUUAGUAUCAACCUUUCAAUUUAUUUUAUUUGAACUAAUCAAUAGUAUUUUGACCUUAAAAUUUGAAUUGGUCAUUUAUUUUAACAAAUUUAAUUAGUUUACUCCACAUAAUUUUUAUAACAUAAUUACAUUUAUAAUUAUAGUUUAUUAACGUAACUACCUUAAAUUUUGAAAUAAAAAUAUUAAUGACCGACUUAAAUCAAAUAAAGUAAAAAAUUGUAUAAUAAGUGAAAAUUUUAAAUGUUUAGAUAUUCAGCUCAAAAUGAUUAAUAAUUUAUAGGAAAAACUUCAAAUACUCCUGUGGUUUCACACUUUCUCACUUCAGUAUCAUGUGGUUUAAAGUAUAUCAAAUUAGUACCAUGUGAUUUCGCACUUUCUCACUUUAGUACCCUAUGGUUUCAAGUGUAUCAAGUUAGUAUCUUGUGAUUUUGUACUUUCUCACUUUAUUACCUUAUGGUUUAACAUUUCGUUAAAUUAUAUAUCCCGAAAUGGAUAAUAAAAAGAGAAAAUUGAAACCACUGGGAACUAACUUGAUACAAAAAUAAAAUCAUAAGGUACUAACUUGAUACACAUAAAACCACAGGGUACUAAAGUGAGAAAGUGCGAAAUCAUAGAAUACUAACUUGAUACACUUUAAACCACGGGAGGCUAAAGUGAAAAAGUACGAAACCACACGUGGUAUUUGAAGUUUCCCCUAAUUCAUAUAAGUUUCCUACAAUUUUAUCUUAAAAAUCGAAAGUGGUGCAUGAGGCAUACAGAUGCACCGGGUGCAGGGAAAUUUCUAGGGAUAUAGAUUGCCGCGUCAGCGGGCUUAGAUCGGAUCGGACACAGAGGCGUCUUUCUUAUUUCAUUUUAUUUUAUUUGUUUAAUAAAUCAUUCUUUCAUGAUGUACAAAAAUUGAAUCAUUGCGAGGAUCAUGCUAACUCGAGCUCGAUUUCUUAGUUCGAUAAUGUGAAAAGAAGAGUAUGCUAAACAAAUAUUUUUACUUAUUCGAUUGUAAGAAUACGGUUAUGAAACAUACAUGUGCGUGAUAGAGACCAAAUUGAGAUUUUUGAUGGUCUAGUGCAAACUAAAAUAGCCAAAUUUUUGAUAAAUCGAAAAGGAGUCUAAAGCUCCUCUUUGAACCCUCUAUACAAUUUUUGGCCUUUGGUAGAAUAUCGAAAUAUAGAAAGAAAAAAAAAAUUGCUCAUUGGACUCGUCAAUGCAUCUAUUCGGUAAGAACGCGUGAUUACAAUCUCAAUGCAUGAUGAUGCUAUUACCAGAGAUUAAGACCUAUAAAUUUUUCGAAUCUAAUUUUUUUUAUAAAUAAAAUUUAAUUAGUUUAAUGAAUCUGAUCCUGACUAUAGGGUCUAAAGAGUGGUGGGGCUCGAGCUUGCUAUGUCGACCUUGAAUAAUAAAAUUAAAAAACUAAAACUAAAUUAAAUUAAAUUAAUUUAAAUUAAAUUGAUAAAAAAUUGAUUGAGGAGGAGUACAAGGAAUGGGAGAGGUGAGGGGUGGUGGUCGCGUGGGGUGCACAGUAAACCCACCCGGGCCCUGCGCCAUGGGGAAAUGGGUUGGCUCCUGGGGAUGGCAUUGACCAACGAUAUUUUUUUCACUUUAUUCUAUCAUAUUUUAUUUCGUGCAGAGCCUGCGCGUAUGUAAAAUCGUGCUUGUUUUGCUCUGUCGAAGUUUCUACAAAAGUGUUGAUAUAAAUAUUGAAAAAAAAUUUUCACUUAAAUUUAUUCAGUAAAUUUGAUUGUGAUUAAAAUAAAAGUUCUAAAUUAGAGCAUCUGAUUGCGAAGAGUAAUGUUAAAUCUUGAUCGACUCCUUUGGUUAAAUCUAAAAAAUGGUAUUCAAGUAUUGUAUAAUUUGGCCUAUUUGUUUUAAAUAUUUUUAAGAGAGAGGAUAGGGGGUGGUGUAUCUGACAAGCUUAGCAUGUGCCAUGUCUACACAUACUACUUGUUCUAAUGUUUUAUUUUAAGGUACGUAGUAGUGGGAGAUUGUAUUAUAUUUUAUGUAAUGUGGAUAUAAAUAUGAGAAACAGGGUACUUACGAACGGUUUCUGUAGUCUUAUAGAUUAUUUUAUUUAGUAUUAUAUAAUAUUGCUGUACUAUUAAAUAUUAAAUAUUCUUUUUAAUGAAGUGGUUUGACACUUAAAUGGGCUGUUGAGAGAGAGAGAGAGAGAGAGAGAGAGAGAGAGAGAGAGAGAGCAUCUAAUUUGAAAAGCCUGGUUGUGAGUUUAUCCCUGCUAGGUGAAAUUUUACUUAUUUGAGUAGCACUGAUUAAAAAGAUAAUAAUAAUAUUUUUAUUAGAAUUGCUUUAUACCUUUCUAUUUUCAUUGCAAAUAAAAGCGUCGAUCUAAAGCUUCUGCUUUUGAUGCUCAUUUCAGCUUCUUAUUACAACAAAACAAUAAAUUUUUUGCUCGUCAAAUAUCUGACUUCUAUGUUUCAAAAGUUAGGCCAAACAAGCAUUUAAGCUUUCGUAAGCUUAAAUAGCAUGAAUAAGUACAAAAUUUAUUAAAUCUAAUUAAAUUCAAUUAGUCAAUAGUGAUCAAUUUCAAUAAAUUUAUUUGUCGUUACUAAAUUUUGAAAGAAAUAUCAUCACCCUUAUAUAGAAAGGUAAGUGAGGCCCAUAUUUCAUGUGAUCACAUGGGCAUAAUAAAUUAAGGUCAACACUUUGAUUUAUUACCAGGCAACAUUCAGCAGAGGACAAUAAAAGCCACGCUAGCAAGCUAGAAGGGAUUCAUUCAUCACCAAACAUUGACCAUGCUACAUUAAUCCUCAGUGAUAAAUAGGACACAAAAAAAAAAAAACUGUGUUUAUAAUAUAUAACCCAAAAAGAAAGGAUAUUAAAAAACAAAAAAGGAAAAAGGAUUAAACCUUUAGAUAACUGAGAAGCCACAUCAAAUUUACAUCGAUCAAUAUCCAACUUCAUGAAACUCAGAAUCCUAAUUUCCUUUUGGUACUAAGUGCAGAAUCGCUUUUCGGCGUGAUUGUUCUUCCAAAUUAAGAGGAUAGAAUAGAAUAAGACUGUUUUUCUCGAGGAAUAGUUUUGAAAAUGGCGAAUAUAGCAAUCACACGAAGAGGCAGGGAUAGAAGAAAGAAUUUCAAAGAGGGAGGUGGAUAGCUAAAACUUUUAACUCAUAUUUUGGAAAUUUGACAGAAAAACUAACAUGCAUAUCAUUUGAUUAUUCACGGGGAUAACAUGUAAAUAACCAAAGAUUUAGGGGCUCAGUCAGUUACGGAAAGAUUUCCAGGGUUAGAUAUGCAAAAAUACAAUCUAAUGUACAGUGGAUUUGAGCUGUAAAUUCAUGGGCAUGCAGGUAUGAAACCACAUUAGCUCACUUUAACCAGGUGAAGAUUUUUACCGGUCCAACGGUUGCAAAAAUGCCGUGGUCUUUUCUCGGCCAUUAUCCAAGACUGAUUAGCAAUCUCGAGAACAUAUGGAUCGUCAUAUAUCAGUUUUCUCACUAGAUGCACCCACGUGGUCACCAAUGGCGGAUUUAGCAUUGGCGUCCAUAUCGCCAGAUACCUCAUUUUUUGGUUCUGGAUCCAUUACUUGAUUCUCUGGUUUUCCUUCAUUCAUUCCUCCACUAUCACAAGCAGCCUCGGUUAAUGGUCCAAGGGCAUGCUCUGAUGAAACUUGAGCUCCGCCAGCACCAUUUGAAACAGUUUUGUUCUCAUCAGCUUCGGUUGCUUCUGUAACCACUGAAUUACUAACAGUUGGUUGAUCAUUUGCUUUUGACUCAUCCAAAUCCUUUGUAUCCGCAUCACCAACCUCUUUGGUUAACGACUCAUCCACAUUAAUGGAUGCAGGACCAUUACCGUUACCCUGCUUGGUGUUAUCUUGCGAGUUGCUAAUCUUUGUGGUGCUGACUGUUUGUUCAAUUGCCUGUUCUGGUGCCUGCACUUCUUGGUUUUUUUCUUUCAGUGAAGUCGAUGAGGUUCCUGAAUUUACUACUGGGGGUGAAGGAGCAGUAACAGGCCGGACAUGCCGAGCAUUUAGAGGUUGUUUUAUAUUUAUGGUAGCUGCUAAAGACGGUUUAAGAGUUGCCACUGAACUGGAAAGGUUUAAUCCUCGGGGCCUAAUAUGAAAGGCGCUCUUUGAUUGUGCAGCUUUCAACAGGGAGGCGGCAGUGGAAGGAGUGGCGAUCCGGCCCCCCGCAGCAAAGGCUGCCGCUUGUAUCAAAGGAUUGGGGCCGAUGGAAGAAGCUUUUGUGUUAGAGGCUGCUUGUUUCUUUGAGGUGUUUAGGGGUUUGAUUAGAGGGUUUAGAGUUUUCUGAGGCACCAAUGGCUUUGCAGACUGCAGGAGUUGGUUAAGUGGGUGAGGGGUCGAAGAUGGUGUUGCCUCGGAUAAUGUAGCUGACAUUGUGGAACUACCUUGAGAGGUUAAAUUUGUUGCACCUGUUUCGAAUAAUUGAAACAACUUUUUCAUAAGGUUAGUACACAAUUUUAUGCAGAUAUACUGAUCUCACAAACAAGCUACCCAUGUCGAGAGAAAGACGGAGAAAGAGAACCCUGGUUAGAGUAAUACUGACCUGAUAAGAAAGUUGGCAAGCUUCCCGUCAUUGGCAUAUUGAUGGCCAAUGAGAGUGCCUUUUGUGCAGCCUUUCUUUCCUCAGAGCUAGCUAAACUGCUAGAUUUAUUCCCGUUGUUUUGGUUUAGAGAUGCCUGGCGUUUGAUGACACCCCAUCUCUGGACAUUCAGCAAAUAGCAUGUCUUUGGUAAUAGGACUCAAUAGGAGACAGUAGUUAGAACAGGCAAAAACUUGGUAAUAACUAUCCAAGAACAUUAGCAGUUUAAGUUCCACGAAAAAAUCCUUCUCUUCAUCACAUUACACACAUUCUCCUGCGCUCUCUCGUUGAUGCAGUAUAAUGUUCUAAAAGAAACUAAAAUGUGCCACUAACUUUUCCAUGGUCCAAGAGAGUGAGUGACUUUUUCAUCUUCCAAUAGCAAUCUCUCACGAGAAAAGAUGCAUUUUUUCAAAAAAAAAAAAAAAAAAAAAAAAAAAAAAAAAAAAAAAAAAAAAAAAAAAAAAAAAAAAACCUUCUAGAGAACUUGGUGAGUAACAAUAAUAUAAAUUGGGCUGAUUUUUGUCCUGUUAUGAAAAUUUUGGCCAUAUAUAUAAUAUGAUUUCAGUGUAAAUGCGACAGCACCGAUGUGAGAAGGAUGAUUUAAAAAAAAAAAUGCUAGAUAUCCUAUAAUCUAAAGAUAACUUGGAUGCUAGAACCAUCAUUCUGAAAUUUUGUAUCAGAUUAUCAAAUUUCAGCUACUUCCCUAACAUAGCACUAAAAAUUUCACAACUACAGAUUAGAUCAAUGUAAACACAAGAAAUAACAGAUCCAUCAACUUUGGCCCAAAUGUAAGCAAAGAUACUGGGCGGUAGUACCUGAGACAACUGCGAAGGUGUUCUGUCAUGCUUAAAAUCCCCUUUUAAUAUACUAGCCCAAUUACCUUCGCCACACUUCUGAACAGCAGCUAUUAAUUCCAUAUCCUCCUCUUUGGUCCAUAGUUUCCUCUUCUUCUUGGGGGGUCCACUUGAUGCUGCUGGCCCAUUACCAUCCAAUUCUUCAGCAGUUGUUCCAACUGGUAGGGACUGUUUUUGAUCAGGUAUGUUUUGGGCUAACGGGGCUUCGGCAUUUGUACUAAUGGGGCCCGGUUCAGAGCCCGAAGAACAUAGAACCUGUUAGUGUAUUUAACAAUAACAUCAUAAAGCCAUUAGUCACGUGUAAUCUCGCAAAGGUUACGUCUACUAAGUACUGGCUAAGUGGCUAUUUGGAAAGAGAACUUUGUAUUUAUUGUAGGUUAUGAGGAUCCUAAGGAUCUAUCUAAACCUAUCAAAUAGCUGUAACGUUUAUCAUAAUAAGAUCUGAGAGGGUGCGAGCGCACAUGGACCUACAACUUGUAAAGCAGUUGAUUCAUCAAAUUGAAACCAAACAAGUUAGAAUGUUUUGUUGAGGACUAAACCUUGACACAAGCUGCCACCUCAGAUGAUGUUUCCUCAUCAGCAACAGGAACAGCUUCUACUUCAAAUUCCAGAUCACUUUCAUCAUCCUGAAUUAACAAUGAACAAAGUAAUAUUAUUGAUCACGAUAAAGCUAUAUGCAUACCAAUACAGCCUGAUUUGCCAAUACCCAUAACAAAGAGAAAAUAAGAUUGAUUCUCUCUUUUGAUUCAGAAAUAAGAAAAUUUUUACACACCAAAUUAUGCAAUAAGAAAGUGAUAAAUUGGAACACAAGGUGUUAAAGUGGAAUCCGGUUAUACCGCAAGGGGCUAUUUAAAGUACUCCUCUAUUCAGAAGUUUGAGGUCUGUUUGUAUUCAUGCACAUCUUGUUUAGCAUAUAAAUUAUGUUUACUUGGUAAUUGGUUGACAGGGAGUAAACUGCAUCGUAUAGACAUUUUAAUCUACGUCAUUUUCAUGAAAUGUAGUAAAAGCAAAAUGCUAACUUGAACUUUAUAUAUAUAUAUAUAUAUAUAUAUAUAUAUAUAUAAACCCCUAUUUUACAGUUUAUCACUGGAUAACUUGUUCCAACAUCGAAACAAGGUAAAGUUUAAGCAUGGUCAAUAAAUGAGGUAAGACAAAGUUUAACGAACCAAAAGCUCAGCUCCAUCAUCAAUUUUUUCCUGUAAUAUGUGCUUGUAGGCCAAAUGUCUCCAUAUCAUCUGAUAUUCACAGGCACUAGUAAUACCAGUUGAAGUUCUUUUCACAAGUGUAUUCCAAUCCACUUUCGGACUGGCAAAUUGAGAAACUUCCUGGAGAAGAGUAAGAAUUGUUGUUGCUGGGUACCUAGAAAAACAGUGUUAAUGAAACAACAAGCGGCACUUAGCUACUAUAUUUUAAAUUCUAGAAUCGGCAAGACAAUUUAUCAUACAAAUGUUGGUUUUUAAAGAAAAUUCUGAAUACACUGGUGGAUACAAUGCAACCAUAAUUCGUAUCAAAUUUCUUCAGCUCUACAGUCAUAAGUUUCUUACCAAUUCUAUUUAAAACCAAAUUAUGAAUCAUCCUACCAGAUUAUAGGGAAUUACCCAAAGCAAGUCCACAAUUAAUAGAUACAAGAACCGAAACCUAGCUCGAGAAAAGGAAAAAAAAAAAGACGAAAUGCACGGUAAGCCAUUUUGAAUUGGCCUUCUCAAUUUUUAUUAUUACUUUUUUUAAGCGACACACUCUCAACUUUUGAAAUUUAGUUUUUGAGUGCUUUGAUCACAUAAAUUAGGAAUUUUAUCAAAUCCAACAGUAAUUCGGUUAAAUUUAACCGCUCUAAUCACAUUUUAUCAAAUAAAAUGAAACCAAUUAACAGCUAAUAGAUAACAGAACGAUCGUAUUUAAAAAAAUUCUCAAACAAACUAACUAGAAUAUAUCCUCAGAGCAUUUUUUACCUCGAGAACACCAGAAAAACCUAGGAUUUUCCCAUUCGAGGAACCCUAAACAACACCAAAAUGGAAGAUGCUACGAUCGAAUCUAUGCAAUCAAUUGAAGCAAGGUAACUAAGCGAUUCACGAAGGGACGAGGAAGAGAGGGACCUUUGGAGGAGGAGGGAGACAUCGUCCUCGUUAAUGGUGGCCUUCUUCUCGGUCGCCAUGGCCGAGUUCGGGGGAGGGGGAGAAGUGGAGAGAUCGAUUUGAGGAGGAGGAGGAGAGCGCGGAGAUGAAGCAGAGAGCGAAGUGGAGAUCGGCGAACUCGGGCCGGGUCGAGAUCACCGGGCCGGGAGUAGGGAUCUCGAUAGCUACGGAUACUCAAAAUUUUAUAUGAACCUGAAUCUGAACGGGGCGGUACUCAAAAUUUAUCUGAUACUAUAAUGAUAUGAUUUCGAAUAUGGAUAUUAAAAAUAAAAAUUUAGCGGAUAUGAAUUUUAGCUGUACUCGAUUCGAAUCUAAAUUUAUUUUACAUUAUAUAAUAUAUAUAUAUAUAUAAAUUUGAUGUUAUAUUUAAAUUUAUAUUAUAAAAAUUUAGAUUUAAUAUAAUAUAUUUUGAAAUAAUAAAAAGAGAAAUAUGUGUUUUCGGUCAGAUUUUUGGGUUCGGAUUCGGGUUCAGAUUUUAAAUUUUUUAGUCGGGUUUGGCUUUGGACAUAAAUUUUUAAAAUUCGUUAGAUUCGGUUUCGGGUUUGGAUUCGAUUCGGAUUCAUAUUUUUGAAAAUCCGUCUUGAAUCCGAACCGUUGACGGGAGAAAUUGAUUACUCCAUUGAACCCAUUUCGGUUUUGAAGUAACUUAGCCACAACAUACGACUAUACAAGCGAAAAGUGUAAUUAUUAUUUAUAUAAAUCUGCAACUUUUCAGAUAAUUUCAAAAUAGUUUCUACCAAUUUUUCUACUUAUUCAAAGUAAUAGAUUGAAAUGUGAAUUAAUUAGACUUCAAACAUGAGAUCUCAACUAUCAAUCAUUAACAAACUGUGCUAGAUAUGGUUUGCUAGAAGAGAGAUUUUUUUUUUUUUUUUGAAGUCAAAAUUUAGGGGCAUAUAAACACUAAACUUUAGCGGACUUUUUGCUGAAAUAAUCUGAAACGUUAGGGGCUUGCAUAAAAGUAUCCUUUUACAUUUGAGUCCGGUCCAAAUUGAUUAGACCGGGCCGAGUUAGGCCUUUUAGACCACAAUUGGGUCGAAGGGGGCCCAAAGGCCCAUUAAUCGCCCUUUCACUCCUCGUCCCAAACCCGAUGACUCACCUCUCUCUCUCUAUACUCCUUUUACUCCCUUCUCCAUCUCCUCCUCUCCCUCUUCUCCCCCACCGUCACCGGCGCCGGCGCUGACGAUCUGGCGCCAUUUCCGGCGAAGCUCCGGCGAUAGCCAUCAUACUUCAUCAUCUAUUCGCUCUUCUACCUCCUCCGAUCGCAGAACCGUAAACCCUCGCUUCGCGUUGCAUUAGAUCGCGCCCAUCUACGCCCAAUCUGAGGAGAAGAUCCGGUAAGCGAGAUCCCUAAUCUAUCUUCUCUGAUUGUACGUUAUUGGGGGUCGUUUUGAUGAUGAAGCUCUAAUUUUGUUAUCUGUAUUUAAAGGAAGCGUCGUAAUCGAUCUACCAUAUCGAAGCAUGGAUAAAUUGGUGGAGUUUGGGAGAAAAGCUUGGUUCAUUGUUAGGGUUCUAUCCGGGUACGAAGAGAGGAGAAUCAGAUCUUACAGGUUGCUGCUUCAGAAGCGGAUCGAACAGGUUGUUCUUAUAUCUACUUGAUGCAAAAUUGUUUCGUUUAGAGCUAUUUCGGGGUGAGAAGAAAUAGAAAAUCCUAAGAUGUCAUAUAUCUUUACUCCCAUAUUCUGAAAUUGCUGUGCUUAAGUAGCAUUUUGAAAUGUAGUGCUUAUUUUCUGAGUACAAUGUGUUGUGCUUUAAAUGGUUUACUGAUAAUCAUGUGUAAGUGUGCUUUCCCGCAUGGUUCUGAAUUCUGAAACAACUUCUCUACUUGAGAAGAUUUUCAGAUGGUGGGCUACAAAAAACUCUUGUAGUUCCGGUGGAAAGAAAUUGAGAGGAUUUAAUGGAAAAUCAUUAUGGUUUCUCAACCUACUGUAUCUGAAUAACACCUCUGCAAAAGUUCCGAUCACACCAAAUAAGAUGCAAAUAAGCCCAUUGGUAAAAAUGAUUGUCACACUGGCAUCAGUGUGAACCUCUUAAAAAGACAUCGACAUUGCAUUAUAACACUUCCCAACGACUUCCAUUUUGGUGCGUACACCGCUUAUGAACUCCAUGUUCUAUAAACAUGGUUCUGGAAUUGGCAUAUGCUGAUUUCUUAACGCUUGCUUAUGACAGUGACACAAUUUCUGCCACUGGAUAAUUUAAACGUUCUACAUAAUGUAUGAUAGUACAAAAUAAAACAAUUUACAACGUAUUACAAUACAAAUUCAACGAGUUCUUUGAGAUGCUCUAUUUUAUUAUUUAUCUUUUUGAUGCAUUACCUUUUCUUUUGUGUCAUAUUCUUUCAUAUUUAUAAUGUUUGGAUUGCAUUUGACUCGCUUGCAUAUGUAUCAGCAUAUGGACCUGUUAGAUACUGCAUAGUUUCUAUAUGAUUUCCCAAUGAUUUGCAUACUAUGGCUGCUUUUAGGAUGUUGGCAUUUUUAACUUUUCUACCUUUAACAUGUAUACAUUUAUCCGAGCUUUACGUAUGCUAUGUAUUGGUUUUAUACCUUAUUUUAGAUUGUAUAGCGCCAUGUAUGGAGCAGCAUACCAGUUAGGCAUUAUAAGAUGGCUUGACCAUCUGUAAUCUACUUGGCACCUCGUAAACUCAUUGUGAAGGAUGGCCAACCUUCAUUAUCUGGCCCACCAGGAACCUAUGAGCUAAACUAUUGCAAGAAAAUCUAACAAAUGCCUCUCUACUUGGUCAUCUGAAAGAUAGGAAUAUGCGAAAUUCUAUCCGAAUGUCUUAUAGAGGGGUAUAGAUUAGCAAAUCCAUGUAAAAUUAAUCCUCUAGGCUGAAAGUUUACAGGCUUCAGAAAGAUGGUAUUAGGGUGGAUAUGAUAUUUGAGAUGGUCUCAAGACUGAAAAAUAGGUGGUUGGUAGCAAGAUGCUUUUCGGUAAUGAAUAUGCUCCGAGAAGUACAUAGAUAACCUUCUUGAUUCUGGGUUUAAAAGUUUCAAAAAGAUGGGAUAAGGGGGGGAUAUGAUAUUUUGAGUAGUCCUCAGGACCGGAAAAUAGGAAAUGGGUAGCAAGGUGCUUUCGGUAAUAAAUAUGCUUCAAGAAGGAUGACGAAAAAUUAAGGAGAUGCAGUAACCAAGAGAAUGAACAGAGCAGGUACCCUGGGUUGAAAGUUCUUGAAGUUCUUCUAAUCAGUAAACAGUAGCAUGCAUGAUUAUAAAUGGAGUAUGUCAGAAUUGUUUGCAUAUAUCAUAUGCAAUGAGCUGGACCUAAUAAAACUAACCCAGUCCGCACUUAUUUGAUACGUAAAUUCGUCGAUCGUUGUACACUAGGGUUCAAAUGACUAUUUUUCAUUGUGUUUUUGUCCAUCGUUUUUUCUUAUGUCUUUUCAAUCUGGAGUGUUCUAUCAACUAUUCUCUUGCUCGAUUGUUUUGGAAUGUAAAAUAGGAAGAGAUUAUGUUGCCUGAGGAGAAACAGAUGAAUAUGUACUAACAGCAAGUUUUAUUGCACAUUGUUCAAAAUAUUUGCAAUCUUAAUAUAUAGGUAAGUACCUAAUGUUAUAAACAAUCUUAUCGUUUUAGUUGUUCAGUUAUAAUCUGAUGUCAUUCCAUGCUUUUCAUUCCUUCAUUGUGCUCAUAUUUCUGGUUUAAAAUUAAUUAUUUGUAUCAUCUGUUCAGUCACAAACUAGGAAACAAGAAUUGAGGAGGAUACCGGAACAGGCUAUUUUAUCAGAGGUUCGUCGCAUGGUCGAGGAGAUGCAAGCAUUAAACCGUCAGCUUGAUGAAACAGUAAGUUAUCCUUUCACAACAUACAUCAUUUUAUGUAUUUGGUUCUUCUAUUCUCUAUUGCUUUUGUUUUCUUACUGAAAUUGUAAAGAGAAGGAUAAUUUAGUAACUUUAGUAUACCUAUUUAAAACUUGGAAAUUUGGCCUUAUAAUAUUCUUUGCCGCUCUAUUGCUCAAUUUUCAAAUGUGGAAGGCCAAAUAGAUUAUUUGGGUUUUUUGUGAAAAUAAUCAAUCUUUUUGUGAUAUUGCAUCUCUAUUCAUUUCUUUUUUUCGUUUUGUAGCUUUGGGUUAAAUGUUCUUUUGUAAACUGAAAUGCCUUUACCGGUAUGAUAAAUACUUGCACUUUGAGUUAUAGCCAGGGAAAUUUUGGUCCAUUUGAAGCUACUUCGAUCCAAUAUCAUAGAAACGAAAAAAAGUGAGCGAAAAUUAGGGGGAAAAAAACAAAAAAUGGAUUAUUUUUCACUAUUCUUAUUUCACGAAAUCAUGAAAAUGAAAAGGAAAAAAAAAAAAAUCAGUGGUUGCUUCUGUCAGUUGAAUGUCAGUGGCAUUACUUUGUGGUAACAUUUCCCUUCCACAGGAAGCUGCAAUCGAAGAAUACUUCAAACCGAUCGAUAAGCACGCGCAGGUAAUAAUGAAUAUGCAACUCGAGAAAGAGGAAAAGCAAAUGAAGGAGAUGGUAAAAGCCAUGCAAGAGCAAAUGAUGGCACAACGAGAGAUGGUGAUCAAGCAAAUGGAAGCUGCUAAUCUUACUUCGAACCACCCCGAUCGAAGUACACCCUCGACACAUUCGAACCAAGAACAAGUCAAAUAAUCCUUCACCAAACUUUGUUGUAUUUAUCCUUUAUGGAGGAAUGUAUGUGUAUCCACUCUUUGCGCGCGAUCUGGUUAGCAAUAAUAAGGUAUAACAAUUUGUAUCAGAAAUCUCGUCCUCUUUUAUCGAGAAAGUGCGAGUUUCUUGACAUUUUUGUCAUACCCUUGCUCUUUGAAGGUGAUUUUUGUUUUGAUGGUAGUAGCAUAUUGUAUUUGAGAGAUCAUAUGUUCCGAGCUUUUUUGAAAUAGCUUUACUUAAACAACAUUUCCGUAGAAAGUCAGCAAGCUUUCUGAAUUUGCUAAUGCAGGGAUUGGGUUUUGCUAUGAUGACUUUAUUUUAUCCCUCUGUUUAAAAUAAUCCGGUUAAAAUGCUUAAAAAUAUAAAGUUGUUGCUCAAUUAUUGAAUACACGUCACAUCGGUAGUUGACCUUUCCUAUUUUGUCAACGCACACAAAAUUGAACGGUGACCGUUAUCUCGUGGGAUGCAUGUGGGAACAAAUAAAACAUGUCAUAUCUAAAGUGCCUCGUGUUACUUAUGGGCCCUUGGAUCUUUUAUGUACGAUUUAGGGUGUGUUUGUUUCAUCUAAUCUCAGAGUGCCAAAUUACGUAUUCUAAUACUUUACAUGCAUGACUUUUGGGUGAUGAUAGAAGAGGCUAGAGAUCAACCCUAAUGUUCUGACCAUAUACAUUGUUUUUUUUUUUUUUGUUUUUUUUUAGAAAUAGAUAGCACGUUACUCGCUUCGUUUAUUUCAUUUAGAAAUAAAUUUAGCUGGAAAUGUGAAUCAACUAGAAUUCGAACUUGGGUCUCGGAUACCAACCACUAAGCCCAACUAGGAUUCGAACUUGGAUCUUUUAUGUACGAUUUAGGGUGUGUUUCUUUCACCUGAUCUCAAAGUGCAAAAUUAUGUAUUCUAAUACUUUACACGCAUGACUUUUGGGUGAUAAUAGAAGAGGCUAGAGAUCAGCCCGUAUGUUCUGACCAUAUACAUUGUGUUCAGUGUGAAGUAUCCACUAUAUUUUCUAUUAUAACAAAAAUUGAAUCAACAUAUAUCAAAAGCUAGUGAUUUUCACGGUUUAUGCGACCUUAGCAAAAUCAGCAGGCCACGGAUAAUCGAAUGUUUGUUUCAAUCUAAAUUGGAGAAAACUUUUGUUGCAUUUUAACAGGGGAAGCAAACAAUUUGUCCAAUCUAAGGCAAAAACGGACUACAAACUGUUCGGUCCAUGGUCCACGUGGUACUCAUGGUGCUCCCAAUAAGCCAUCGACCCAAAACCCACUCAUGUCCCAAAGCUUUUGCAGCCCCAUGAGUCAGUAUCAAUCGCAAUUUUAGUAUCCCCAAUUGUUUCUCUCUCUCUCUCUCCUCUUAACUCCCUCCAAAACGUCUCUCUCUCUCUCUCUCUCUCUCUCUCUCUCUCUCCACCGCCAUUAUUCAAAUCGUAGCCGUUGAAAUCCCUGCCUCUGAAUCUCUCUCUCUCUCUCUCUCUCGCACGCUCGCAUACCCUUUCAAUUUCAAAUCUCCAAUUAUUUUACUGAGGGGGGUGGUGGGGAUUUUAAAAGCUACGGCGGAAACCAAACGCAGGAUAGAGAGAGGCGACGACGAUUUCACAUUUCUCACCUUAAAAAAAAAAAAAAAAAAAAAAAGAGAAAGAAAAAUUCCUCUUCUCCUCUCUUUCGAUUCCUAGGGUUUCCGCUCCGAUUCCCUCCCCGCCACCUUCACCUUCACCCUAACCCUAAGCCCCGAUUUCGGAUACGAGAGGGAUGAGCUCCCAUGCGGUUCCCCACCAGAGAAGGAUCAGCCACUCCGCACGCCGCGCUCCGGCGCCUGCGGCGGCUGCGCGGAAGCUCGAAGCUGGCGCCGAUGGCGGCGGCGCCGGAGGCGGAGGCGUCGCCAACGGGAAGAGCUCCAAGCCCACGUCGCCUUCGAAUCAACCCUCGUAAGAUCCCUAGCUGCAGCUCCUUUGUUCUUGUGGGUUGUUCAUAGUUUUGGGCGGUUGCUGUAGGGGGGAGAGAACGGUUAAGAAGCUGAGGCUUUCGAAGGCGCUUACCAUCCCCGAGGGCACGACGGUCUCCGAUGCGUGCCGGAGGAUGGCGGCGAGGAGGGUGGAUUCGGUGCUGCUCACUGAUGCUAAUGGGCUCCUCUCCGGGAUCGUCACUGAUAAGGUUUUGAUUCACCGAAUCCAUUUUUGGCGUGUUUGGUGUGAUGAUAAUUGUGAAAUAGUUACUUAAUUCGAGCUAUUUAAUAAAAUUGAUAGGAUAUAUCCACAAGAGUGAUAGCGGAGGGAUUGAGACCCGAGCAGACGAUCGUGUCCAAGAUCAUGACGAGGAAUCCAGUGUUUGUCAUGUCCGAUGCGCUCGCGAUGGAGGCGCUGCAGAAGAUGCUUCAAGGUUUGCCUAGUUAGAAGAUUGGUCCUUUUGAUAUAUUUUUGUUAGUUGCUUCUUUGUUCUUCCGCUGCUGUGGUUUUGAUGUUAUUUGGAAGCAACACUUGAUUAUGUUGGGGUUCGUGAAGAGGAACAGUAAAGGUACUACUUUUGUUUAAUGGAGAGUUAUUGUUGAGGAGGAGCUCUAUUGGUAAUUAUUUCAUGCUGGAGAACUCUGUUUAUGAUUAUGGUUAGCUUUCUCUUUGCCGAUAAAUUUUUGGGUUAGGUGGAGAAAUUAAAGUAGGAAAAGAACAAGUUUUAGAUGUAAAAGCCCGUCUGAAUUGGGAAAGGAACAUUUGCAGUUUCUUCGAGUGCUAGCCUGUCACAGUGUCACCAGCAAAACUGUCCUUCUGCUUAACUAAGAAGUGAAGAUUUUUAUUUGAUUCUUCUUUUUGUGGCUACCCAUAACCAUUUUCUUAUGGCUGGAGAGUAUAUAGAAAAGUGCUUUAUGAUAGGUAGUGAUAUUUGUUUGUAUCACUGCAAGUUAUUCAUGUUGCUAACAAAACGUAGUUUUCCUUGGAUGUCAAAGGCAAAUUUAGGCACCUUCCUGUGGUAGAAAAUGGUGAAGUUGUUGCCAUGCUCGACAUCACAAAGUGCCUUUAUGAUGCAAUAUCAAGAAUGGAAAAGGCUGCAGAACAAGGCAGUGCGCUAGCAGCUGCUGUCGAAGAGGUUGAACGCCAGUACGGCAGCAAUUUUUCAGGUGCGUUGUAAUUUCACUUAUGUUGCUUCACCCUCAUUUUUUAUAUUAAUUAUGUAAAUUUGUCUGUUUAACUGCUUUGCCUCCUGUUUAAUGCAUUGAUUCUUUAUUUUCCUGGCUGCAGCUCCUUAUGCUUUCAUAGAAACCCUGCGAGAAAGAAUGUUUAAACCUUCUUUGUCAACCGUGAUCACUGAGAACUCAAAGUACGUUUGGAACUUUAUACAAACACUUUCGUCCUUAAGGAUAUCUCCAACAGUAAUUUAUCUUGAAGAAAUCGGAAAUAGUUGAAGUUUGAUAAGUAUUUCUAUAUGCAGGGUUGCAAUAGUAUUCCCUUCAGAUCCUGUCUAUGUUGCCACAAAAAAGAUGCGCGAUAAUCGUAUUAAUUCUGUGAUCGUCAUGACUGGAAGCGCAGUUCAAGGAAUUCUAACGUAUGUUUUUUGCUUUGUUGAGUAAUGCUUUGACAGUAGUUUGCUGAAGAUUUACUGGCUUUGUUGUUUCCACUUAUUUUAUAUUUUGAAGUACACAUUUAAGGUGUUCAUCAAUACAUGCUUUGUUGCAAUUUUCUGCAGUUCUAAGGAUGUGCUUAUGCGAGUAGUAGCACAGCAUCUUUCGCCUGAGUUGACUUUGGUAGAAAAGGUUUGUUAUGUCAAGUUCCUUUUGCAAAACUCAACUAGAUUUUCUAAAUACGUAUUCUCUCUUUUUUGUCGCACUUGCUACUAUAUGAUUGUGAGUGUCUAAUUAAAGCUCUCUUGGUGCUUUUUUUAUCCUGCUUUUGCAAGAAUGGUAUACUUAAUUAUAGUCUUAGCUGUGAUCUUUGUAAUUGCAUCUCUUAGUUGGAUUUUUGGAUUCUGUGACUUUUUAUCCGGGAACUGGAUAUAUUAAACUUUUUCAGAAUAUAUCAUACCAAUGCUUGUCAUUGGUUAUUCAAAUUUUCCCACUUCUUUGCUAACUUGUUUGGCUAUUCGCAAAUUUACCUAGUGGUGUGGUUGCUCCAUUACAAUUCGAACCUUAUUAAUUGUUUGAAUUCAUCUCUGUUCUUAUAAUAUUUUAGUUGCUUCACUACCUUGGAUUUAUUAUUAUUAUUAUUAUUUUCCUGUUGCUAAGUGUUUAGCACCAAUUUUCUGUUAAGCUCUGAAGUAUCUUACUUUAAUACUUUCUAUUAUUACUACUGAAGGUAAUGACUCCGAACCCUGAAUGUGCUACUUUGGACACAACAAUUCUUGAGGCGCUCCAUAUAAUGCAUGAUGGAAAAUUCUUGCAUAUUCCUGUGCUCGAUAGAGGUAACAAUUUAUUAUAGAAGACAUCUUGUUUUUUUGUUAAUUUAUAUCUGUAACUGGCAAACAUCUUUUUGCUUCUACUUAUGUAAUGUAACUACUUGAACAGAUGGCAAUAUCACUGCUUGUUUGGAUGUUCUGCAAAUCACUCAUGCAGCCCUUUCGAUGGUAAGGAUAAUGACUAUUAAUAUGCCUUUUGCUUGAACCAUAAAUUGCCUCUCUUUUGAUUAGCUACAUCUAUGUGUACUGAAGGAUUUAUAAACUGCAGUUUUACGAGUUUUUUGCACAUACACCUGGCCAUUAUGUAAAUUUGCAUAAAUAGUCCUGCAAAGUUGGUGCCUGCAUGCAUUCCUAAACACUAUAUAUUUGUAAGGGAUAAGGUGAUUGCAUGCAUUCCCAAACGUAGUAUUUACUUGUGAGGUAUAUUAGAGUAACAAUUUUUGCUUUGAUUCCUCCAGCAACGUCAUAUGUGCAAGUAACAUAUGCAAAAAAAGGAAAAAGGAAAAAGGAAAAAUAAGAAAAAUAGGAGACAAGUUCUAUAGUCUAUAACACUAGCCAUAUUGCUUCUGCUGCUGUUUAUCUACUUCUUAUAUAUAUAUAUAUAUACACACACACGCACAGGUUGAGGGAGGAUCAGAAGCUGUAAAUGGCAUGGCAAACACAAUGAUGCAGAAGUUUUGGGAUUCUGCCCUUAAUCUGGAGCCACCAGAUGAUGAGCUUGAUAGCCGCAGGUUUUUCGCAUUUCAAACCCCUUCUCCCAAAAGUUUUUUCUUUAAAGUAAUUUUCUUUUUCUCGUUUGUCUGCAGUGAUGUUUCAAUGUUGAUGGCAUCAGAAUGUGCAGAAGGGAAGUAUACAAAUCCUCCUUCUGUUGGUCACUCAUUUGCCUUCAAGCUUGAAGACCGAAAAGGGCGUGUGCAUAGAUUCAACAGUGGUGAGUGUGCAAUCGUUUUUCUGUCCUUCAAUGCUGGCCUGCUUGGCCAUGCUUCUGAUGCGCGCUGAAUCACUUUGUGCAAAGUGGAAGUGAUUUAGCAUCUUGGUUCUUGUGAAUGCAGAAAUAUGCCCAUCAGAAUCACAAGCAAUAAUCUGAGGAUUCUUGUGAAAGCGAUCCUGCAAUGAGGUCUUCCAGCAGGUGAUUCCACGUGCAUCUGGGCCAAUACCUGUUAAUUGUCAUAUUUAAGGUUCCGUAUAUGACACUUCAUGUUUUUUUACUUCUCAUUGCAGGUACAGAGAACUUAACUGAGCUUGUUACUGCUGUGAAGCAGAGAAUAGGGAUCAACGAUGAGGAGAAAAUUCAACUUCUGGUGGGUUUUUUAAUUGUUAUGUCAAAAAGUAUAAUCAUGUCAAUGGUUUGGUUUCAGAGUUCUACGAAUUUGGUUUUUGAGCCAAAAAAAUUUGCUCCCUUGGGCUCCCCACCGUUCUUAGAAACUAUUGAUCCUUUCUAAUGCAGUAUGAAGAUGAGGAAGGUGACAAAGUUCUCCUAACUACUGAUGGCGACCUUACCGCUGCAGUGUAUGUCGCGAGAUCAGCUGGAUGGAAGGUUAGUGUUUCUCUUGAGGAUUUAAUUCAUGUAGUUAUAAAGAUUGAAACCAAUAUACAAUUUGCCGCCUUUUUCUUGGGGGGGAUGCAUUGGAUAUCAUUAUGCAAGGAAAAGUUGAUUGAGAUACCCAUCUGUUACUUCUAGGUCAUUCUAGAUAGAAUUUUUGAUAGCGGAGUAGGUUUAAUUUUAUUUCUCCAAAUCAUCUAUUCACGUAUUCAAUAAACCUAUGUUGACUUUCCAAUUGUUUUACUUAUUUCAGGUUCUGAGGCUUCACGUUGAUGAUGUUAAUGCUGAGAAGGAAACGGCAAAGCCAUCGUCGAAACUAGCGACUGCCCAAAAAAGUCGGUGGACACCAAUACAAGUCGGGUUUGUUACAGGUGCAGUGGCUCUUACAACUAUUGGUGUUGUGGCUUACUUGAAACGCUCAAAUGUGUGAUAUCCUCUGAAAAGCAGGACAGAGUAAUCUUAGUGGGCAAUUAUGCAGCUAACUAUUGAAGCUCUCCUGAUCAUAUAGGAGAUAAAAUGCAGUUAAGUUAUUUCAAAAUCUCCAUUAGAGAGAGAGAGAGAGAGAGAGAGAGAGAGAGUUAAUAGUUUUAUGGGGAGGGUGAUUGAAAAUUUGAGGCAUUAUGGGUAUAAAAGUCAUAAAGGGAAUGGAUGAUACCAAUACGUCACAAAAACCAAUACAUUGCUUUUACCAAAAGGGUGAUACCAAUACGUCACAAAAACCAAUACAUUGCUUUUACCGAAUAGGAAAAAGCUUGUAUUUUAAUGCUAUAUGUCUCUGCUCUUUUCCUGCAUCUGUUACAUUAAUUUCUCUUCAUCUUGUUUGAAAUUUUGCUCGUCAUCGUAUUUGCAAAAAUAAUUGUAUGGAUCUACACCUGAAUAAGAUGACAAGCAUCAUCCACAGAAUGUGAAAGCUUUGGUGUGUUGUCCACAAUGUAAAGUAAUGCAAUUAUUGCGUGUUGUUAUUAAUCGAACUGAUCUUGGUGUGAACAGAUAGAUUCGUUGAAUUUCGGCGUUAUGUACGUGAUUGAACAUUUGGCAAAUUUGAUUUGUGUAUUUAUGUAGAUAUUAAAAGCUUGUUGUGGGCCCUGUUUCUUCACCAUCUAGGCUGGCUCAGAAAUUGUAGAGACCCUCUUUUGGGCCAAAGCCACGUGAAAUAACUUCUUUUACAAGAAAAAAAUUGCGUGCCUGUUCUCUUGUAUGAUCUUGAUGUGGCCUACAAAAUUUCAAUUCAUCUUUGAACAUCACUUACUUUUCAAAACUGAUUAUUACUUCACAAUGUUGAAGAUGCUUACAUUUAUUCUCUCUUUUUGGGCUCAGAGAACAUGCACUAGAAAUGAAGAAAACAGCCCCACAAUUUCUUUUUUUUUUUUUCUUUUGGUUAAGUUUUUGUGAGUCUUCGAUAAAGCCAAUAAUUGUAUUGUUCCACAUGCUCAUCGGCUCAUGUGAAUUUGAAGCCAUUUGAUGUUGAUGAUGAUGUUAUAUAACACCCGCCACAAACACCAAAAUGCUUCAUGCAGGCUAAGUAGCAUACAUAUCCAUUUGUUUUGAACAUAAAAAGUGAAGUCCCUUUUUCUCCAUUCCUCGUUGUCUUUUCCUAUGAAUUUGUGUAACCUUUUUUUUUUAUAUAUCUUGUCCUAUGAAAUUAUCACCUUGUGCUCCACCAAGCUAUUCUCUUUCUCUCUCUCUCUCUCUCUAUAAGUCACGGGCCUUCAUAUUUUUUUUGGUUAUUUGGGCUCUAUUUCUCAUAUAAAUCUCACUUGAUUUCUUGUAUAAAUGAUCAGUAUUAUGAUUUGUAUCCAAUACGAGGCUAAUAUUCUGAACAAUUAUUAUUACAAACUAUACAUUAUAUUAUCUUCCUAAUGUGCUAUUAUUAUCGAUCAUUCAUCUGUUUGAGGUUUAUCAAGGAAACAUGUUACAUGAGCUAUAUAUUCGCCAUUGACGAGUUUUAGCUAUAUUUAAACUGUUAAAGAGCUCAGAUCCAACCCACAAGAUUAAACUGAUAGGUUCAUCGCAUUAUAUGAAAGUUUAGACCUUAAGCCUCCGUUUGGUUCGGGGUUAAGGAAAAAGUAGCUAUUCCAGAGAUAAGAGUUAAGUUCAGGGUUAAAGUGGGGUUAAAAUUUUUUUGUGUUUGGUUGGGGGUUGGAGUUAGUCUAGAAUAAUAAAAAAUAGUGUUUGGUUGGAGUAGAUGGAAUAAGAAGAUAAUGAUUGAUAAAGAAGGAUAAUGAUUGGUUGGAGUAGAUAGGAUAAGAAAGAUAGUGAGUUAUUAUGAAUAGAAAAUAAUGUUUGGUUGGAGUUUGGUGGGGUUAGGUGGGGUUAGCUAAUUCGGGAUAAUUUAUUUGAGGUGUGGUUAGCUAACCCGGGGUUAAAGGAUUAUUCCACCCCUUAACCCCCAACCAAACAAGGGUUUAAUAUUCAAUGUGAAACUAAAAUUUGGAACCAAGUAAAAGAAUUUUUUAGAAUAUCAAACGCUCGGUAUGUGUCUUAGUGCCGGAGAUAUGCUCGCUUAGGCACACAAGGAUUUAUUUUUCUAGUUUUUUUUUUUUUUUUUUCUUUUCUGUUUUUGCUAUGGAGGCCUUUUCAGUUCAUCCUUCUAAUAAAUAAAGCGGUAGCAUGCUACCUUAUUCUAAACAAAAAAAAAAAAAUCACGGAUUUUAGUGUGUUUGGACAGCCGACGAAAUUACUUUUCUACCCUUGUAAUUUGGGAACAGAACACCACUACAAGCAUUAUUUCGACCUAAAAAGGCAUGUGAUUGUGAAUCUCUAAAACUUAUGGUUGGUUAUCUUUUGUUAGUUAAUUUCUCCUUUGGCUUCUCAAAAGAAUGAAAAGGUUGUUUAAAAAGAAUAGCAACAUGAGCAAUAUGUUCUUUAAAUUAUUUAUUCUAUAUAUUGUGACAAACACCACUUUAGUGAUAAAUAACAACAAAUUAGGGCUUACUUUUCCUUCUAUUUUUAAUGAAAAGUCAAAAUAAUGCACUUGGCAAAUAACAAAAAACUUAAAAGAUUUUAUUGCAGGAAAAGCUGUUGAAAAAAUUUUAAUAUAAUAUUAUAGUACUAUUUAGAUAAUACUUUGUCAUACUGCACCUCAGAGCACAUACAUUAUAUUUAAUCAUAUUUUGAACCUUUUUGCUAUGACAAUAAUAAAUAUCGCUUUGAUAAUAUUGAUUUCCUAUUGUAAGGCUGCGUAGAGGCUCAAAAAUAUGAUUAACACAAUUGUGUUAGCUUAAAUGAACCUACAUUCUACCUAUGGGGGGAGGUCAGAUUGGGCCUGAGUCAUAUUCAAAAUGAUGAGAGGUUGGGUUAAACCAAGUCAUGUUUUUUUUUUUUUUUUUUGAGAGAGAUAGGUAGCAUGUUACCCGCUUCGUUUAUAGCUAGAAAUGUGAAUCAAUUAGGAUUCGAAUUUGGGUCUCGAGUACCAACCACCAAGCCUUUUGCCACUUGCUCUAGGGACAGUCGGUUUAAACCAAGUCAUGUUGAAAAUGGAAUGAGGCUGAUUGGACCGAAUCAAAAUCGAAAUUCAUGGACGUUGUGCCUGUACACAAUGAAUUAAUUAUAUGUUUUUAAUAAUUUGAACUUUUGAGGUUAAUAGUUAGCGCCAACGAUCCAAAAGUUAGACACAACCAAAUUGCUCCUAAAAAUAUCCUCAUAACAAUUAUACAAAACAAGAGAGAGAGAGAGAGAGAGAGAGAGAGAGCCAAGUGGUGGGUCCAUUGAUGGAGCAAAUUUUCCUGAGGCUUGGCUUAGGAGCUACCCCUUCUAAAGCGACUGGUAGUAAUAGGCACAGGGAUAAGGAAAAGCGAUGCAACAACCACCACCACAUACAUAGUUGGAUGGAGAUACACACAACCUUUAUUGGAUGGAGAGAAUGAUUAAGUACUACUCUCCCUAUUACUGCUUUCCAUGCAAUGCUCCGCAAUCCUUUUUCUGUUAAUGUAAUGUGCCUGGCACAUGAUGAGUUUGGUGGUAUCAUGAGUGAGCUGGAUAUUAUUUUUAUCUUAUUGGCCUGUUUGCUUUCGCUUUUGCUUCUGCAUUUAAUGGUGCCAAUCUCAUCAAAGUGUUUGAUUUAAAGCUUAUGUUGCAUUUGAUAAUGAAAAUAAGAAUUUUGAGCCUCUAAAAUGGAACUUCAAAAUGAUACUUCUGAUUCUAUUGCAGAAAAAUCCUUAGGGCCAUAUUAAUAAAUCAAAACUUAUGUUUAAGAAGCUCAAAAUGUAGAUUAAUUUAUCUUGCUAUCAGAGUAAUUCAGCUGUAAAUUAACUUUCGGUACAUAAAACAUUUAGCAUAUCCUCUUUGAAGUGGAAAAGUCAUUUCAAAACGAGCGAAAGUAAACGUAAUUUUUCAACCCAAUCAUCUAAAUGUAAUUUUUCUUAUCCCUCGCAAUAUCUUGAUUUUGGUCUAAUUUCUAUUUAUUUCAAAAGUUAUAUUUAUUAUAAGAAUAUAAGUAAGAAUAAUUUGUUCUCGAAUCAAAUGGUGCCAAAGAAUAUGCAGAGUCUUCGAUACAAAUGAGUUGCAAGGCAAAAGAUAACUAUCAAAUUUAGGUGGCCUUUUUAUGUCAUCUUUAAGGUGAGGAUAGAUUUUGUGAUAGAUACUUAAGACAUUAAAUUUAUGGUUAAAAUGGCUGAGGAUUUCAAAUCUAAUAGUCACAUUUCUAAAUUAUCAUCAUUAAAAAAAAGGUACAAUGGGCCCUCCCAGCUUUUCUCAAGGGAUUAACUUUUCCAGGGGUUAAUCAUUCCUAUUUCUUUUCAUAUUUAUGAACCUUGUCUAGAUCUUGAAACACACACACACACACAAAAUUCAUAUUUUGCUAACCUUUCUCUUUAAAAAAUAUAUAUUUCUCUAAUUUUACUAAUUAUUAUAUAUUAUUAAUGUAAUUACAUUGAUUAAUGCAAACGAGGAAUCCAAAACAUUUUCCUUGUUGUUAAUUAAUGCUGAAAAAGUUCCUUUUUUUUAUUUUUUGUUAUUAAUUAUCUGAUUGUUACUGGUGACAAAAAUGAUAAAAUAUAUCCAUUUUUUUCAAAAAUUAACAAAAUGAGGUUUUUGAGAUUCUAAAAUCUAUACUACUUUGUGAAAAACUAUUGGAAAAAAAAAAUUGGUGGGUUUAUGAGCCACAAUUCACUGUGCAUUUCUGAAAAUUAAGAUAAUAUUUUAAGAAAAAUGAAAAUCAUUUUAGUCAACUCAAUAAAUAGGAGAGGCACAUCAGAGUCAAAAAUAUGUUGCCCUAGUGGGCCCCAAAACCACAGUACCUUUUCCUUCUUUCCCAGUAUCUGAAACCUUUCUCUUUUUUUUUUAAUUAUUAUUAUAAGCUACCUCUGUAAUCCCCAAUUUAAAAAAUUACUAAAAAGGUGACCAAUCUCUGUUAUACCAUGUACUUUUAAUUACUAAACUUACUAAACUUAAGCUAAUCUCUAUUUAUAUAUAAAUCAUUAAAGAAAAGGACAAACAAACAAAAAUAGAGAGAGAGAGAGAGAGAGCCUUUCUCUGUGCAAUCAGAGAAUGAAAUUAAAAAAAUUGGAAACAUUACUUGUUUUAUAUUAAAAAUUACUAAAAAAAAGGUAACCAAUCUUUGUUACCCCCUCUUUAAUACUAAAAGCUAAUCUCUAUUAAUCUAAACCAUAAAUAACAACACACACACACACACACACACACACACACACACACACACACAGCUUUUUUUUUUUUCCAUCGUAAUUUUUAGUUCUAAAAAUUUGGAGGAGAAGAAGAGAGAGGAGAGGAGGAAAAAAGAAAAAAAAAAAAGAGUAAGAAACCCAAUGGCGGGAAUAAGGUCAACUCCGUUUUGAAAUAAGCAAAGGAAAAAAUAAAAGAAUUUGAAAUGAGAAAUUUAAAGUUUUGAAGAGGCCAAAAAGGAAAAAAGCUACGAAGUGUUGGCCAAAGCAGUGCCUUUUUCUCCUUCGUAUGACACUCCACAUGCGUUCUCUUCUCCGGGGAGGUGAGAUAAAAAAAAAAAAAAAAAGAGAGAGGGAAAAAAGGGGAAAAAAAAGCACUUCUUUGUUUAUUUAGUGGUUGGUUUAAAAAUUUGAAUUUUGAAACAAAAAUUUGAAUUUAAAAUUGGGGAUCGCUCCACCGCCGAUCUUUAAAUCCGCGGACAUUCCUCACGAGUAUACUUUUUUGAGGUAUUAAUGCUCUCCUUUGACCGGGUUUUUCUUUUUUUUUUUAUUUUAAUUUGUAUAGAUAAAUGUUUUAAUUUUGGCUAGGGUUUUUUUUUUAUUUUUUCUUUUUGUAUUGUUCUUAGGAGUUCUCCUUCCUUGUGGAUUCUACUGUUUUGUGUCGGCAAGGUGGGAUUUUGGGAGCGGGAUUAGGUGUUCUUUAGGGUUCUUCGAAAUGGGUACUCGUCAAAAUUUGAUCUUUGUGAUGCUUUUUUAUGGGUUUGAAGUUUUUUUUUUUUUUAUAAUUUGGGGCGUUUUUGCUGUGAAUUGAUUUGAUGUUUUGGGGCAUUUGAUAGUGGUGAUCUGGGGGAGAAAUGCAGGGGAAAUUGGAAGGAAAUGGGAACUAGUUUUGUGAUCUAUUGCAUGAUUGAGAUUGUGUGGUGAAAUGCAGGGGGGAUUGGGAGGAAAUGGGAAUUAGGGUUGUGAUCUAUUAGAAGAUUGGGAUUGCGCCAUGGAUCGCCGGAGUUGGCUUUGGAGGCGCAAGUCGUCGGAGAAGAGUCCCGGAGAAAGCGAGAGCUCGGGAUCGGUGUCGUCGCACUCGGAGAGAUACUCUGAUGAUCAGGUUUGUGUACAUUGCAUUUUAGAGAUUUUAUUUUGUUACAAUGCUUUUGAAUCUAGCACUUGCAUGCAAAUUUAGUUAGCAUUUUAAGUUGUUUUAGGCUCAAUCUUAGAUUGAUAUGAGGAGAAUUUUGGUUUCUCUACAUCCAUUGCCUUACUUUUGAAACUAUCUACUUAUGCUGUUGACUAGAACUUCAUGUUUACGCCUUUUUCGCUUCUUCGUCUCACCAAUCCAUUUUUGCUCGCUUUGGAUCCCGCAAAAAAUGAAGCCGAGGUGCAAAAAUGUUAUCUUUGAUUGCGUCGGAGAUUAAGGGAAAUUUUCGAAGGAGCAGUGGAGAAUUUUUUUUUUUUUUUUUGAAUUUGUGGAUCAGGAUGUUUAAUACUAGAUGAGAAUACUGAAACAACAAAUAAUAAUAAUAAAAAGAUGAUAAACCAGAAACUUAAAAGUUACAGAUGAAGAUCUCAAAUUGUAUCAAGGUUAAAAAACUAAUAUGUAGCUACUCCAUCUUUUGUUUCUUGUCACUAGUAAACCACUUGGUUUAAGAUAAAGGGUGGUGAUGAUUAUUAUUUGACAAAUGAGAUACUUUUUUUUUUUCCCCUCGGGUUAGUAAUUCUAAUCACUCUUCAGAUGUUCUUGGUCUCCGAAGUAGUUAGAAAGGGCCUACAAACUUAAAUAUUUCUAUUUUUGUGAUGGUUUCCAUUUUCUACAAGUCUAUUGGUGAGCUACACUCCACAAGGACCAGCUUUUGUUGAACAUUUCCUAAUUUUUAUCCUACCGUCAUUAAGUAAAUGGUAUUUAAGCAUAUAUUGGACAAAUUUGAAAAAAAUAAAAAAUAAAAAUUCCACUAUAUUUCAUGCUGAGAUGAGCAUUUGCCCAUUUACUCAAGUUUGUGAUUCUGUAAUAGACGCAUCCAUGUGCUUUUGAACAAAGUUUCUUUAUAUAAUUUCUCUUUUGAAUUUUAUUUGUUCAUUUCAUCUGCUUCAAUUGUUAUUGGCAUGUAAGUUUUCUCCUUCCCAUCAUAUUCUUCAAUUGGUAUUUCUUCUUGCCAACAAAGUUAAUAAUUACUCGAAGCAGCUGAAAAAUUACAUGUGUGGUAACUUUUGUAUUGUAUACGAUCUUUGACCAUAAUUUUGUGGAUUCUAGUUACGCGACAUACCAUUAAAUAUCGAGAGGGAGAGAUAGUGAUAGAUUCUUUUAGAGAGAGAGAGAGAGAGGGAGAGAUCUUUCACUAUCAUUUUUUGGAUUAUAGUUACACAAGACACCAUUAAAAAUCGACAAGGAGAGGUAGUGAUGGAGUCUUUUAGAGAAAGAACGAGCAAGAGAGAGAUCUAUGACCAUAAUUUUCUGGGUUCUAGUUAGACAAUAUAACAUUACAUAUCGCGCGCGCGCGCGCGCGCGAGAGAGAGAGAGAGAGAGAGAGAGAGAGAGAUAACUACAAUGAAAAUAAAAAUGGGUAGACUAAAAAGACGUACUUAACAUUUUUCUACGUAAAGAUGCUCCCCCAAGCUUGAAAAGCAAAUGCUUUGAGACAAAGCUAACUUCAGCUGUUGCUUUGCUAAGUGUGCUAUUGGAAAACAGGAGGUGUUGAGGGUUCAGUCGGAUACUGCUUCCCCAAGUCACGCCCAGUCACAAGAGGUUACUUCGAACAAUGGAGAUAAUAAUGAUGUCCAAGAGACUGUGAAGACUUUGACCGAGAAGCUAUCUGCUGCUCUUUUGAGCAUCAGCGCAAAAGAGGAGCUGGUCAAGCAGCACGCAAAAGUCGCUGAAGAAGCUGUUUCAGGUAUUGCUUUUCCCAAUAUUAUUCUCAAUAUAAAACUAGAAGGUAAAACUAAUUUCCUUAUUCGUAGUUUUCCUUAUCCUUUUUCAUGUUGCAUGUACACGGAAAUUGAUGUGUAAUAAUAGUUCAUGCGAAUAUGUUUAGGAGAAGAUAUAUAUCAACCAUCAUACACUGAUUGUUUUUCGUUUAUGUGCAUUGUUGAAAAUGUAACACAAUUUUUGUAAUGAUCAUAUGUAAUUUAAUCUCACUGUAGCAAAGCAAUUUGCACUUGGAUGUUUGUCAUAGCUCCGCGUUGUGCUCAAGCAAGUAGCAACUACUUUUUUAGGUGGAUUAUAAAUCUCUCUCUCUCUCUCUCUCUCUCUCUCUCUCUCUCGCUAUGAAGAACCAGUUAUCAUUUUCUUAUUUGUUGACGAGAUUUAAGGAGCAUAUGUAGGGUGUCCAUCAUAAUUUUUCAGAUACAGUCGGUUACUUUUGAUCUGGUACAGAUUCAAGUUCAUGCACGGAAUAAAUUCAACAAAUGCUGCAACUUUUUUUUUUUUCCACCAUUAACCAAACUUCCGUAUCCUUGCAGGGUGGGAACAAGCUGAAACCGAACUAGCGUCUCUCAAGCAGCAGCUUGAAAUCGCUUUCCAGAAGAACUCUGCUCUCGAGGAUCGAAUCAACCACCUUGAUGGGGCCCUCAAGGAAUGCGUGCGGCAGCUCCGUCAAUCCCGAGAAGAGCAAGAAGAGAGAACCCAUGAUGCGAUAUCCAAAAGGGCUCGUGAGUGGGAAUCGAGCAAGUCCGAGCUCGAGAAUCAGAUUCUUGAUCUCAAGAAACAGCUGGAAACUGCUGCAUCAGAAGCUGCUCCUUCCCCCCUUCAGCUUAAUCUGCAAGAAAAGCUCGAAGUUAUCGAGAGAGAGAACACGGACCUCAAAGCUGAGCUUCUCGCUCAAGCCGAGGAUAUUAGGGUUCUAGCACUUGAAAGAGAGCUUAGCAACCGAGUUGCAGAAACGGCUAGCAAACAGCACCUGGAGAGCGUGAAAAAAGCGGCCAAGUUAGAAGCUGAAUGCAGGAGAUUGCGGGCUUUCUCGCGUAAAAAAGCACCAAUUAUUGACCACAGACCAAUUCCUCAAUCAGUUUGUGUGGAAUCUCUCACUGAUAGCUUAUCAGAUAUGGAUAAUGAACCGGAAUGCUCGGAUUCGUGGGCAUCGGCUUUAAUCGCAGAGCUUGAUCAGUUCAAAAAUGGAAAAGCUGGUUCUAGAAAUCUAAAAACUGCUUCUGUGGAGAUUGACCUAAUGGAUGAUUUUCUUGAGAUGGAGAGGCUUGUGGCUUUGCCCGAGGCUGAUCGCAGAAGCUCUAGCUUCGAGCUAGAAACUGAUUCUGAAAAAGCUCUUUUGAAGGACUGCUUUUCGAAGGUUGAAAUUGAAUCUCUGCGGGAUGAAUUAGUAGAGUUACAGGCAAAGGUCAAGAAGAUCGAAAGUGAGAAGAAAGAACUGGAAAUGGCUUUGGCUGAUUCUAAAAGCCAUUAUGAGAUCACACAUGAUAAGCUAAAACUAGCUGACGAUGAAUUGGUGCAGCUGCACAAGCAGUUAGAAUUGGCUUAUGAGCUGAAACUUGCAUCGGAAAACGAAGUAAUGAAUGUGGAGGCAAAGAGAAAGGAGUUGCAUUAUCAACUAGAAUCAGCAAAUGUGGAAGUUGGAAAACAACGUGAGAAGGUGAGAUUCUUAGAACAAGAUCUUAAGGCUGAGAGGGACCUUUCUGUGAAAUAUGCGACUAAGGUCGAGGCUCUGGAGUCCACUAAGAAUGCCUUAGAGAUUCAGCUUGAAACGGUUAACUCGGAAGUCGGAAGACUAAGAGAGUUGGUGGGUGUGUUAGAAGGCAAAAUCAAGGAAGAGAAGGGCUUAUCUGCAAAAUUCUCAAUUAAAAUAGAGGCUUCGGAGGCAGCGAGAAAGGCUUUAGAAUCUGAGGUCGAGUCCGCGCGUAAAGAAGUUCGGAAAUUAAAGGAAAAGGUGGCUUUUGUAGAAGCUGAAGCAGAGAAGGAGAGGGUUAUAUCUGCAAAAUAUGCAGCUGAGGUAGAAACAGCAAAUCUUGUACUCGGGAACCUUCGUGAAGAAAUCGGCUUGCUGGAAGAGCAGAUUGAAAAGGAAAAAGCAAUUUCUGAAGAAUUCGCAGCUAAGUGCGAGAAGUUGGAGGCUCAGCUUUCGAGGCACCACCGAGAAGCCGAGCUUCGCCUAAUUGCAAAUGCAAAUGGAGAACUGAAGAUGAAGCAGGUAAAAUGCUUAUUUUCCGGUCGCAAUAAUCUUAAUAGCUCAGGUCACCUUUUCCUUCUUUCUUUUUUUUUUUCAUAAUACUCUCUAUUAGUAUCAUGACUAGUUCGUGGCCGCUUCCAUUGCAUGGCAUAAGCUUCUGGACAAUGCUCCGUUUCUUUAUUGUGGACAAUGCUCCGUUUCUUUAUUGUGCUAAACGCCUGGCUUCUGCUUCUUAAAUAGAGAAGCUGUUUGGAAGUUGUUUCUGGCAAUUGCAGAAGCUUCGGACUUCAUAAUUUACCAAUCACUUUUUUUAGAGGUGACUGCUGCUAGAAGCAGAAGCUAGGCUGAACAUGCAACAAAUCUCUCAUUUUGAUGCUCUAUUUUUUUUUUUUUCUCUAUGGUGCAGGAGAAAGAGCUCGCGGUGGCUGCUGAAAAGCUGGCAGAUUGUCAGAAGACAAUAGCUUCUCUCGGCCAACAGCUCAAAUCCUUAACAGAUUUAGAUGAUAUCAUGCUCGAGGCGGAAAUACCUCAACUUAUCCAAAGCUUUGGAGAUCACGAAAAUGGCGAUGACGAUACACUACACUGUUACGAAAGUUCACGUAAUCUACAUGGAUUUACUCUCCCAAAUGGCAAAGAGAAGGGCUCUUUCCCCUUCUCUUCUAUCUCUUCGUCGGCCUCGGCCUCGGCCUCGACCGUUUCUGGGCUUUCGAGAUUGUUAUCGUAUAGUAGGAGCAAUAGUGCUAUAGAAAAAUAGUGAAGUAAUUAAUGAAUUGGUGUUAUAUUGGAAAUGUACAUUUAAAGGAAGUGCUUUUAUUGGAGAUUUGGUGGUUGUUAAUGGCUAACAUCAUGAGUCUUGUGUUAACUGUUGAAGCCCUGAACUUUUUUUAUUUAAUGAAGAAAAAGAUCCAGAGAGCUGGAUUUCAGUGUGCUUCUUGCAAAAUCAGUUUGUCCAUGGUGAAAUUGUUGAAUCAUUCAAAUAAUUUUAGUUUUUUGGACUCUCUCAUGAUGGUAUGAUUUGUUGUUCAUGGUGAAAUUGAUGUGAUUUCCCCAAUUUGUUUUUUGGACAAAUUUCUUUUUAAAAGCAUAACCUACUUGGAACCCGGAAGCUCUAAAUUAGAGCUUCUAUUUUGAAACCUUUAAAAUCAUAUUUCUGCCGCUCGUUAGGGUAAAAUUUUUAUUUUUUUUUUAGAAAAAAGUAAUAUGCUAUUCAUUUCGUUCAAUUUUUUUUAAAAUGAACUUAGUUGAAAAUGUGAAAUAAUUAGGCUUCGAAUUUAGAACCUUGAAUGCUAAUCACUAAAUCUUUUAUCACUUGUGUUAGAAUAAAAAUUUUAUUUUUAUAUCCCGUCAUAAAUAACUAACUAUAGUUGAAA